This 46855-nucleotide long non-coding RNA is filed under the name Physcomitrium patens. Its description in RNAcentral is "long non-coding RNA (PPAT_LNC009262)". Lineage: Eukaryota; Viridiplantae; Streptophyta; Bryopsida; Funariales; Funariaceae. The record is from RNAcentral.
UAAUUAGAUUAUAAUAAUGGUAAACAAACGUAAUCAAUUUCAAAUCAACUCAAAGAAAUUUCAAACAAACAAUAAAAUUCUUAAAGAAAUAUUAGAUUGAUCAAAAAUUUUACUCAAAUAUAUGUCAAUUCAAUCUUAAUUUAAUUCUAGUUAAAAUCCUAUUGAAUUUCACUCAACUUUAGACCAAACCUAAUUAAAUCUUAAAUCCUAAUAAUUCCUAAAUCCUAAGUCAAAUCCUAAACAAAUCUUAAAUUAAACCCUAUUCCAAAUCCUAAACCCUAAACCAAAUCCUAAACCCUAAUCCAACCCUAAACUCUAAUCCAAAUCCUAAACCCUAAAUCAAACCUUAAAUCAAACUCUAACCAAAUCCUAGUCCAAAUUCUAAUCCAAACCCUAAAUCAAACCCUAAUCCAAAUCCUAAACCCUAAUCCAAACCCUAAUCCAAACCAUAAAUCCUAAUCCAAACCCUAAUCCAAAUCCUAAUCCAAACCCUAAACCGAACCCUAGCCAAACCCUAAUCCAAAUCCUAGUAAUUCUUAUGACAGAUUUAAACCUCAAUAUCUAAUGAAUAAACCAUUGAUCUCAAUUCAAAAUUUUCACACUUCUUAAAAAUCAAGUUCAAAACAAGCAAAAAACUUUUGAAAAGGAUCGGAGUUACCAAUUGACGAAAACCUCAAAAAUGUGUUCAGGUGUUAGCUAGCUGCCUUCUCCAAUCUUGUUGCUAACUUCCCAGAGCCAAUUUCUCUUCUUUUCGCCGUUCGAUUGGUUUCAAAUUUCUCAUGGACAUAGAAAAACAAGUCUAAUAUCCUUUCAUAUAAGUUUUACUCCAAUCCAACUAGUAGAUUGCAUGAAAUCUUAAAAAACCCUCACUGGACCUAAAAUUCUACUUUUUGAGACCUUGAUUCACUUAAACCUCAAUAUCUCUCAGUUCAAGUGUUAGAUCAAGCUCAAAUUCACAAAAUGUGUUCAAAACAAUUAUAACCAUGAACCCAAAAAAAUUCAUUUGUAGAUCUGUAACAAAACUCUCGAAAUCACUCAAAACAUAAACCCUAUUUUAUUUCAUAAAACCCAAGUCAUCCAAAAAAAAACUCAACUUUGCAAAGCUCUUACAAAUUCAUAUCAACUCCAAAUCAUCCAAAAUCAAUGCCCAUAGAAACCUUAUCCAAUCUUCUCUCAAAUCCUAUUCUUCGAUCUGCCAAAGAGUUCUGGAGUCGUCGUCGAGACUCAGUUUUGUGCCUCAGGAUCUGAUUUCGACCCUGGUUCAUAACCGGCCCUCUCCGGGUAUCAAUAUCUAGUUUUUCUAAGUAACUUUUUUCUAGAAUUUACUCUUAACUUUCUUCUAAAGAUUCCUAUAUCAUUUAUUUUCCCAAUCUACUUUGAUUUGCCUUACUUAUGGUACUACAAAAUAAGUAGAAGUCACCUUUCUAAAAGGCAACAUUGGUACUUUUUAAUUUUUCUACCCCUUUGGCUAUUAAGUAUAUUUCUAAGAUAAUUUGUUCUAAUACUUUGAACUAAGAUCUCUUAAAUUAUAAUAAUCUCCAUACUCUUUCACCUAUUAAUUGUAUUACAUCACGACAACGUAUUUCUCGUUUGAACUUGAUUGACUUCCCAUUGAGUCGGUGGAAUCAUGGUCUGAUUACUGAAUUAUUUUUGCCUUUGCCAAUUCCAACAAUUAGCUGUUAAGUACUUUCCUCCGCAAAAUGUACAUUGAUCCAUCAUUUGUGAGGGUGAAGGGCAUUCUGUUACCAAAUGACUAUGGCCCUUACAAUUACUUUACCAUACAUUGGUCCUAGUAUUAGUAGGCUUGCACCACUUCUCCUUAUCUUUGGCCAUAUUAACGGCCAUUUCUUCCAUUUUCUUCGUCAAGUCAAUAAUAAGGUUUCAUUAGAAUCUUUUGGGAUUAGUAUUAAUAGUAACUCUGCCGUACUUAAGGCUUGUUGUUGAUACAGAAAAUAUGGAACAUACGUUGUUGUAUUACAUGCUAUCUAGCUUAAGAAUGCACUAGGCAUCUCGUUGUGGAAGAUAAAACAAUGUUUUACAAGUAUCCAGGUAGGCUAGUGGGUUUCAACCAUCUAAUUACGAAGUAUUUCGUAUUUCAAUAUAAAAGUUCAAUCCUAAUACAAAGUGCUUAGAAGCACUAUUUUAAAUAACUUUAAGAUAUUAUAAGCACAAAGUCUUUUGUUAUUUGUUAGUUUUUUAUUUUAUUUUAUUUUAUUUUAUUUUUAAUUUUUAAUUUUUAAUUUUUUAAUUUUUAUUUUAUUAUAUUUUAUUUUAUUUUUUCAACCUUAACCCUAAACAACGAGCUUUGACAAGUUGUAAUUCUCAAUCUGACCAUCUGAUUGUUGUAAACUUCUACCACUAGUGUCUUUGCAAGUCUUCUAAAUGCUCAAGAAAUUUCAAUCCAAUCUAACUUACACAUUGCAAGAAAAUGCCAUAAAUCCACACUGAUGUAUCUUGAUCGCCGCCUAGAAGUCCUCAACUUAUCAUGCCAAAAGUCACCUUAUUCCAGCUAGUAGAUCUCUAGAUGUUAUAGAAACCCUAGACAACCUCAAUUUGCUAACUUUUGAUACCUCUUUAUACUAAUGGUCAAAUAUCCUCUAUCUGUUUGUUAGAUUAACACAAACUUUUGCAUGCACUCGGUAUACUCAACCCUUUAGACACCUCUAAAUUUCAACUGCAAAAGUUUCUCCAAUUUCACAAAACAGUCAAGAAUACUAGCCUUAAUUUUAUUACAAAAAAAAAUCCAAAUCACCAAUACAAACAUUGACUUUCAACAACGAUUGCAAAAGUCCUCUCAAAUCCUAUGAAAUCAAAUUCUAUACCUUUCAAAAGAGCUUGAAGCUUGCUCUCCAACCCAAAAAUCCCGAUCUCGGAAUGCCUUCUUCUUUUUCCUCUCCUUUCCUUUAACUCGGUGAGGUCCCUCAUUCUUCCGCCCUGGGCUCCGAAUUAGAAAAGCAGAUCCGCCUCCAUAGAAUUCUUGCCUCUAAAAAGAUCUUUUUAUAGAAAAGAUAUUUUUCUGAAACUGCAUAGAGAAUGGAACAACUUAAAAUGGAACCAAACCCUAUAUAUUUGGGACCUCAUUGGGUUGUUUAACCAAGUCUGGUCUCAUACUAGGUAAGAGGCUCGUAAUAGGACCUAAAUUGGAUGUCCCCGUAAUUGGGUCAAAUUGGCCCUUCACAUCACAUUCACUUGAAUAUUGAAUUGGUCCUUUCCACUUUUGUCGACUCUUGGUAAGAACGGCUUGGACUUAUUCUACCCGAUGUAUCAGAGAAUCUUGAGGAUCCAGAUUCAUCCCUUCAAUUUUUUCCUAGCUUUGGAUCUGUUGAUCCCAAUUAUUGAAAUUGAACGGAGUAUUACAUUGCUUAUAAGUAUGCCCCAACUGCUUGCUAUUUCCACACUCUAGCACGUGAUUGUCAAUGACUUUGGAAUUGGAACAUUCAAUAGCAUAAUGACCAAUUCGUCUGCAACGAAAACAACAAAGUCAUCUUACUGUACCUCCAUCAGGCAUAUUGGGUGUUUCCACUGAUAUAUACCUCGUAAGCUUGUUCCAUGUAGGAUUAGAAAAUGAUCCUGGUCGUUCUGUUGGUACAAAGGGUACUUGGUUCGAUGACGCCGGUGGAACAUACACUAGUGUCACAUUCGAUGGUAUAGAUUGUAAUGGAGUGAUAUUAACUGGCCCUUGAAUAUUGGCACUGGUAUUGGCCACUGCUUCUAACAUCUAAGCUAAUUAAAUAUUAAUAAAUCUUUUCUAUUUAUAUUUUUACCACAUAGUCGUAUCGCAAUACGACAUCCACCCCCUCUGAACCUAUGCAUCUUCUCAUAUGCACCAAAUAGUCUAGUUGUUAUUUGAAUUAUAAUAUGUUCUCCAAGUCUUCGUCCAAAUCCUCUUCAUCACCUUUGCUAUCCAAGUCAAUUUCAUCUUCUUGUUGAAGAAUAUCUAUGUCUCCACCAAGGUCUUCUAUAUUUAUUUUUGUGCAUCUUUUUUUAUAUAUUUUAACUCGCUUCCUUACAAUUGGUAUUUUUAACCUUUUUUUAUCUAACUCCCGUAAUGAAUAAGUUACGUUAUCAUGAAGAGUUGUUACCACAUACGGUCUAAGCCAUCGCUUAAAAAACUUCUUUAAAGUACUAUGUUAAUUGUCCAAGCUACUACCAUAGACCAAAAUCCAAUCACCUUCUUCAAUUGCUUUAGGCCUCAAUCGAUGUUGCUUAUCAAAUCUUCCCUUGUUUUGUAACCUUCAUCUUUUUAAUCUUUCUAAUACUAUUUACACAUCUUCCGAACUUUGCUCUAAUUGUUGAAUUCUAAUAGCUAAAAGUUCUUCUCCUGUCAAUCCAUCUUUCUAUGGUAGCACACUCCAAGUAGAUACCUUUUCUUCAAUUGGCAUAAUUGAUUUUUGACCUGUCAUAAGCUCAAUAAGCAUAUAUCCUGUUACGGAGCUAUGAGUUGUUUGAUCAGCCCAUAAUGCAAAUGACAAAAGUCAUGGCCAUUCUCUAACCUUUCUAUUAUAAGCUUUAACUAAUGCUUUCACAAUUGGUGGGUGACCACACUAACUUUUUACAUUUCCUUCAGGAUUAUAAGCAGUACUUAGUGAUAGUUUAAUUCCACAUCUUUCAAAGAAUUCACGAGCUUCUUGUGCAUUUAAUUCUCCAUGAUCUGCAAUGAUUUUUCCUACACAUUCGUAGCAGCAAAUAACAUCUUUAAGCAAAAAUCUACAAAUUUCUUCCAUAGAUUUUGUUCUCAAUGUUCUUCUUUCUACUUGAUUUGAUAAAUUUUCAUGAGCUAAGACCAAAUAUCUCAUUUGCCAUAACCCGAUUGGUAUAAUAACCAAAUCAACAAUGUAUUUAAAAUGAAAAGCUAGAGGAUAUAUAGGAUGAAGACCAUCUUGAUGUCAUAUAUUAGAAUAUGUUUGAUAAAUUUUACAUGAUCCUACAAAUAAGAGCACAUCUUGAUACAUAUUUUUCCACCAAUAUCGUUCCUUAAGUUUAGCAAAAGUAGCCCAAAUUCCUCUAUGUCCUAUCCAUAAACUAUCAUGAAACCCCUUUAAUAAUUUUUUUUUCUCUUCUUUAUUGCCUAUCACUCUUUGUAGCAUUCCAAUUCCUUUCUUUGGUCUCUUCUAUAAGAAUCCUUCUUGAAGCAAAAAUCCAUAUACCUUUUUUUUUAUUUGUUUAAAUUUUUUUGUAGACCAAUUUUUUUGCUUAGUCAAGGUAUUCAAAUAAUGACCAAUAUCGAAUAAUUCUCCUUUAUAAAAUUCUUCAAGAAAUAGCUUGUCUUCUUUGUUAAGAUUUGAUACUAAAUAGAAUUUUGACCCAACAUCAUCAAUGUCUUCAACUAUUUUGUCUUUUCUUUCAUAUCUUGCUCGAGAUAGCAUGUCUGCUACUAAAUUUUCUUUUCCAAUAAUAUGCUUAAAUUUUGGAUUUAAUGACUUAAUAUAAGCAAUUUAUCUUAACAUUGCAAUAUUUGGUAUUGAAUAAUUAGUAAUCAUUCCAAGCAAUGGCAAUCAAUCCAUUUUAAUUACUACUGCUGCACCAAUCAAAUAAUCCCUUUCAACUUUCAUAGCCAAAAUAACUCCCUAAAGUUCUCUUUUGACUUACAAAUAUGCACGUUGAUAAGUACUUAAAAAUUUAGUUCUAAAUCGAAAUCCAAAUCUAUUUCCACUUGAAUCAUCUUGAUCCACAGCCCAUCCAAUAGCAAUAGGAUUAGUAUCCACAGUAAGAAUUACUUGUCUAUUAUAGUCAUAAUCAAUUUUUCUUAAAAUUGGAGGUGUCACCAAUAACACCUUUAGCUUCUGCAUUCCUUCAGUAUGCUUUCUUUUCCAUUUAAAUUGAUAAUCUUUAUGUAAUAAUUCAUACAAUGGAUCUAUUACAUGAGCAUAAUGAAGAAUCCAUAUAUGAUAAAAUACACAAGCUCCAAAAAACCUGCAUACUUCUGUUAAAGAGUCACAUAAAUCCUUCAUCCUUCCAAUUGCAUCAACUUUAUUUGGAUUUGACUUUCUUCCAUAAAACCCACACAAAUACCCAACAAUAAGAACUUCCUGCAUUCCAAAUGUAGAUUUUGCUCCUGAAAGUGUAAGAUGAACCUCUUCAAGUCGAGUUAAAAUCUUUUCACAAUCUUGUAUAUGAUCAACAACAUAUUUGCGACACCCUUUCUUAUCUAAAGUUUCAUCUUUUUUUCCUUCUUAAUAUUUUUUGAUAGGAACAUCAUCUAAAAAAGGUAUAGUUUUUUCAGAAAUGAAGUCUCUUAAUACCUUGUUUAUCCCAUUCAUCAUAUGUGCAACUGAGUCAGUAGUACUUUGAGGGAGGGUACAUAUUUUAAGCAAUCCAAGUGGCAUUCUCAUUGUUGUUAGAUCUCUAUUCCCAUGCGUAAGUUGAAAUUGAUCAUAAUACAAAUACAAAUCACCCAUUGAAUAAAUUACCCUUCCGACAAAUACUUCUGUAAACUCGUCUAUAAGAGGUCCUAUACCUGUAUUUCUUAUAGUUAUUGCAUUCAUUGGCUGCAUAUCUUGAAUAAAACUUAAUGAUCUUUUUUUCUUAGGCAUCAUAAACCAACGAUUAGAAUAUGGAGCAAAAGAAGGCUCCAAAAUUUUUAUUUGUAUCUUUUCUUUCAAUAAUUCCACCAAUUUAGAUAAAUGUGUCCUCGGCACAGGAAUUGGCCUUAAGUUCCAAGGUACAUGAGGUACUGUAAAGAUAACCAUAGGAGCAACAACAUUAAGAUCUCCACAUCCUAUUUCACGAGAUCCAAAGGCAAAUGAUUUACCUUGUUUUGAAAGUAUUUUUUUUAAAAUAUUUAAUUUCUGCUGGAUAUAAAGAACCAUCACAUCCAAUCUUCAAUUCUUCAAAAGUCUCCUUUGUAAACUGAUGUCCAAUCUAUUUUGGAUCUCUUAAACUCUCUCUUUUUGAUGCUUCUUCCAUUUGCUCCUUAGAAUCUUCUAGUAAAGGUCUGGCAACAAGUUUUAUCUUUUUAUCUAUUGUUUGAUAUUUUGUCUCUACAAUAACUUCUAGUGCUUGAAAAGAUUCAAGUAUAGAAUAAACCUCCGUCGAAUGAAUUUCUACAAUCUUAUCAUUAUCUCUUAAUCUAAUAGAUGUAAUUAAUUCUAAAGAAUCCUUCAAUCUAUUUUUUUCAUAAAUACCUUAAAUCUUUUCAUCAUCUUCUAAUGUCCCUUACUUACGUAAUUGUAACGGAUACAGAAAUACAAGCUCGAGAUCUAACAAGAAGUUCAAGCAGAAUUGACAAGAAUUAGAUUAAUCAGAUGAAUACAACAACAACACCAGAGAGGUGAGCUAGAGCUCCAAGAGAUGUGUUGUCGAGACUGAAGAAUUCUUCAGCCUUGAUUCUAAUAUAUACUCCUAUUUACGAAGCUUUUUAAGCAACUUCCACCAACUAGGAAGCUUCUCAAGUAACUUCUACCAACUAAGAAGCUUCUCAAGCAACUUCCACCAAUUAAGAAGCUUCUCAAGUAACUUCGAUCAACUAAGAAGCUUUUAGAAGGUUCCAGAGAUUUACUACUAAAAGGUUCUAGAAACUUGUCUCUUGAAGGUUCUAAGUACUUUGUCCCUAACAUCACCCCCUCCUUUAGCUUCGAGAUCUCUGAGAUGCAAUAUUAUUGUUAAUUAGUACCAACGUAAGAAAACGAAGAUCUGUCGUAUAACGUCUGCUAUGACUUCUAAUUGUUGUUCACGAGGUAAGUGGUUCAUCGAUCCUUGAAGCUAAUGGUAGUGAUCCACACCUUCGACUUUUGACUAAGCAUGAACUUUCGUGUCCUCAUUGUGAAAUUGUCCUACAAACAUGCCUUUUGGCUGACCAUCGUAAACAGGCUCAAACUCAAAUACAAUCACCAAUGAUCAGUUAUUCCGUAUCCUUCGUCGUCGUCAUGAUGUAGGCAGUUUUUCAUCUCGGGGUCACCAUCGUGAACUAGUUGGUUGAGAUAAUCUGACUGGCAUAGUAUCUAUCUCUUGGCUAUCCAUAUCAGAAGACCAAACUAUGGCUAUUGAAAAAAUUCUUCUUUAUCUUGGAAGAAAUAACUACAUCAAACUACGAGUUUUGGUGGUGCUCUCCCCCUUUCUUAUAUUCUUGGGUGAGCAAGCUUUAGAAAGAAGCUAUCGUCGAACCGGCUUAGGUUUAUGAGGAUGUUGUUGAUGAAACUCUUGUACCUUUUGUGACGAAUUGGCAAGAUUUUUAGCAGGUUCCCACGUUUGCUCAUUAAUGUCGUAGCCGCACCAAUGAACAAGAUACUCCAAUUUGUCCCACCUUUGUUAUGAAUCCAACACCUUUUCAACCUCGUAUUCUUCGUGGUUCUCGGAUAAUACUAGGUGGCGAACAUUACACUCUUCCAAGAAAAGACGACUUUCGAUAAGGCUCCAACAAAGAAACAUGAAAGAGUGGAUGUACCUUCAUAGAAGCCGGUAAUUCCAAACUGUACGCCACUCGAUUGAUUUGCUUCUGGAUGAUAAAUAGUCCCAAUCUUCAAUAGUCUAACUUAUCACAUGGUCGCUUGGUCUUGAUAUUCCGUCAAAGAAGCCAUGCUUUAUCUCCAAUUUUGAAAGUAGGUGCUUGAUUUCGAAAUCUAUCUGCAGACGCCUUGUAGGAUUUUUGAGCGGAUUGUAAUUGAAGCUUCAACAUAGUUUGAAGCUCUGAUAGUUGCUUCGUAAAGCCUUCAGCUCCUGGAUUGUUAUUUGUUAAUGGACUCAAUAAAUCAAGCUUGAGAUGAUAUCCAUAGUUGGAAAAGUAUGGUGUGUAUUGAGUCGAUGCAUGGAGGGUGUUGUUAUAUGCAAACUCAGCUAGCGACAGAUAUGCGGUCCAAUCAUCUUGCUGAUAGUUGAUGCUGCAUCGUAAGUAUUGUUCCAAGACUUGGUUCACCCGUUCUGAUUGGCCGUCAGUUUGAGGAUGAAAAGCCGAAGAGAGCUUGAUAUCCACCUUCAGUAUCUCAAAAAGAGAUCUCCAAAACUUUGAUUCAAACUGGGUUCUUUAAUCUAAUACGAUAUCAUCUGAUAGUCCAUGAUAUCGAUACAUAUUAUCGAGAAAGAGCCUUGUUGUGAUUUCACUGGACGAUGUCUUCUUGCAAGGAACAAAGUGUGCCAUCUUUGUAAGCCGAUCUACAAUGACAAAGAUGCUGUCAAAUGAAUUCGAUGAUGGCAGGUCCGUCAUGAAGUCCAUGGAAAAUGAAGACUAUGGUUGACAUGAAAUUGGCAAUGGCUGUAAAAGUCCAUAAGGGCAAUGUCGAGGAUUCAUGGAUCUUGAACAAAUAUCGUAGGAGAGGACAAAAUCUUUUACAUCCUUCCACAUUUGGGGCCACGAGAUAUCUCGAGAAAUAAGCCCCAGGGUCUUGCUAAAUCCAAAAUGUCCCAGAGCUGGAAAAUCAUGGCGAGAUUGAAGAACUCGAAGUCGUGCUAAUCCUUUUGGAAUAUACAACCACUCCUCAAAGUAUAAAAGAUCUCCCUCCACCUAGAACUUGUUGUCAUUGGUACGCUGCUUGAUAUCAACGGCUACUAGAUCUUCAAUGGUCAGGGCACAUACCUGGUUCAGGAAGUCAGCAUCAAUUGGCACAAUAGUAGCGCAAAGCUGAAAUUACUCUGGCUUCAACAAUGUCGUACAUUGUUGAUCAAAUGCUGCUUCUCCAGCCUUUGGUACAAGAUACGAUCUCCUCGAUAAGGCAUCGGAUAAUCCUUGCUACUUUCCAGGUCGAUAAGUGAUAAUAAAAUUGAAUCUAGAUAGCAACAUACUCCACCGAGCUUGACGUCGAUUUCAAACUUGAGCCGACAUGAAAUACUCUAAAUUCUUGUGAUCUGUGUAUACGGUCACUGGAUGUGCAGCUCUUUUAAGAAAGUGAUGCCAUUCUUAGAAAGAAUCCACUAUAGCAAAAAGUUCCUUAUCGUGGAUCUCAUAAUUGAUUUCAACAGCAAAGAACUUUCGAGAAUGAAAUGCAUCUAGAUGGAGCUUUUUGUCUUCUCCCAUUUCUGAAAGUAUAGCUCCUAAAGCAAAAUCCGAAGCAUCAGUUUCUAAAAAGAAGGCCUUUAUAAAAGCUGGAUGUACCAAGAUUGGAGUGGUAGUAAAUGCUAUCUUCAGGUCUUGAAACGCCUUUUCUGCUAGAGGUCUCCAUUCCAGCUUAUCCUUGCAUGUCAAUCGAGUGAGAAGAGUAGCAACUUGAGAGUAAUUCUUGAUGAUGAUUCGAUAGAAGUUAGUAAAACUAAGAAAGCAUUGUAUGUCUCUAACUGUCUUUAAAACCUCCCAGGACACGAUUGCUUCCACCUUCUUGGGGUCCAUCUUCAAGCCUUCCGUAGUCGCAACGAACCUCAAAAAUUCCAUCUCUAUUUGGUGAAAUAAACACUUCUCCAAUUUGGUAUAUAGUCCUCGCUUGCAUAGUUUCUCCAAGACCAAAUAAAUGUACUUUUCAUGCUCUUCCUCAUUUUUGGAGAAUAUUAGAAUAUCAUUCAAAUAGAUGACAACAAAAUCGUCAAGGUACUCCCGAAAAAUAUCAUUCAUCAUAUGUUGGAAGACUACUGGAUCAUUGGUAAGACCAAAGGGCAUGACAUUAUACUCAAAAUGGCCAUAUCUUGUACGGAAUGCUGUCUUUCACUCAUCUCCUUCUUUGAUUUGUACGAGGUUAUAAGCUCCCCUUAGAUCAAUUUCUGUAAAGAUCCUUGCACGUCCAAGUUGUUCUAAGAGACCAUAAAUCAAGGGUAACGGGUAACGAUUCUUCUUUGUUAUCUUGUUGAGGCCUCGAUAGUCCAUGCACAUCCGCAACGAGCCAUCUUUCUUCUUUACAAAUAAGAUGGGUGCCCUAGCUGAUGAUUUUGAAUGAUGGAUGAAGUUCUUGGCUAGAUUCUCAUCGAUGUACUUCCGCAACUCCACCAACUCAGUCUGUGACAGAUUGUAGAUUGGGCCAAAAGGCGGUUGUGCUCCUUCUUGUAAGUCUAUGGCGCAAUCAUAUGGUCGGUGUUCCGGUAGCAUGUCAGCAUUCUUCUUUUGAAACACGUCUUUAAAAUCUUUAUAUUGCUCAAGUAUACUUGCUGUCGAGAUCUUUCUCCGGUAGUUGGAGCCGCAUAAAUGACAAACGGUGUACCUUCCUUAAAUGAUCUUACAAACACUCUUGCUCCAAUGAAUAAGGAUUUCUUUAUUUGGGAUUUUCUACUAGGCUUGCUCUUGGAUGCUUUUGUGGGAAAGGUUAUCUUCUGCAACCUCCAAUCUAUGGAUGGAUUAUACUUUUCUGACCAAGAAAGACCAAGAAUAACAGGAUUUGAUGGAGUUUUAAUAAUAUUGAGAAUAAUAUGGCUACUAUGGCCCUUAAAUGUCACUUCUAUAGGUUCUGAUUCAUGGGUGAUACUACCAGACAAUAAAGGUCGUCCAUCUAUGACCUCAACGUGAACAAGUUUAGAUUUUUAUACUAAAGGAAUCUUAUGAUGCUUUGCAAAUUCUUCGUCUAAAAAACAAGCAGAUGCUCCUGAAUCUAAUAAUGUUAAGGUUCUCAAUUUUUGAAGACCAAUAAAUAAAGGAAUUAUAAAGCAAAAGGCAGGUUGAGUGGAAAGAAAGGAACCUGGUUGUUGUUGCAAUAUUUCACUGUCCAGUCGCACGGUUCCUAUUGUGGCUGGGCAUCCUCGUUUUCCUGAACAAAUGCGCCCCUAGUCCUGAUAAUGCGUCGAUUUUGCUUCUUGGAGCAAUUUUCAACUUUGUGGCCUUCUUCACCGCAAUAUAAGCAUAGACCUUCCUCCAAACGCCGCUUUUUUUCUUCUAGAGUAAGGAAUUUGACACGUACCAUAUCAAUUUGCAUGUCUUCUACCUAUGAAUGUGAAUUCACACUGCUUACCGACAUAGUUGGGGCGUGGCAAACCAUAUGUUGUCUUGAGCAUUGAUCUUGGCGACGUUGGAAUACGAGGUUAUUGUACUUCACAACUUGGUUAAUAGCUUCGUUGAGCGUUGACGGAUCGAAAAGAGUUAGUAGUAAAUCCUUCACAUCGUCCUUUAAACUCCAAUAGAAUUGACUCAUCAACGCUUCUUCGUCCCAAUUGAUGUCGCAUGCUAGUUGCCUGAAAUCUGAUGCAUAGAUUGAUGUAGAGCGCAUCCCUUGUCGUUGUCAUGUUGUAACACGAGUAUACUGUGAAAAUAUAAAGGAAGAGGACUUUUAUUAAUGUUCAGUUAUCUCGAAUAUUGGGAGCAACGACCAAUUCCAGUGCAAAUACUAAGAGGCUAGGUUCAGUCACCCCGUUACAGUCAGCCGCGGCAUACUGAAAUGCUCCAUUCGAUUACUAUAACGGGAGUCUGCAGGAAGAGAAAGGACCAAUUCACAUGACGGGUGAGUCUAGUUUGAAGAGCCAAUUGGAUCCAAUUUCAAGAAUCCAAUCUGGGUCCUCUUACCCAAUAUGAGACCUGAAUUGGUCAGGCAAUCCAAUGCAGUCUAAUUACUGAAAAAUCCGGAUCUUACUACUAAAUUCUUAUCCAAUAUGAGACCUGAAUUGGUCGGGCGACUCAAUGUGGUCCUGAUUAUGGGGUUUCGAUUCUGUUUCAAGCUGUCCUGUUCUCUGUGCCGUUUCAGGGAACGUUGUUUUUGGUAAAAGGAUCUCUUAAAGGUAAAAAUGGAGGAGAAAGCUCUGACGGCGAGAGCUAAUUUUAGAUCCAAGACGGAAGGAUCCAAUUCCGAAUCCAAGACAGAAGGAGCCAAUUCCGGAUCCAAGACGGAAGGAGCCAAUUCCGGAUCCAAGACGGAAGAUUGAAGAGAUUCAGAGGCUAGGGUUUGAAAGAGGGGAGAAUUAGGGUUAAAGGGGAAGAAGGUUAAGAAAUAGGGGGGGUUUUUUUGGGGGGUUUUUUCAGUGGGUUUUUUUAGUGGGUUUUUUCAGUGGGGUUUUUUUAGGGGGUUUUUUCGGAGGGUUUUUUCAGUGGGUUUUUUCAGUGGGGUUUUUUCAAUGAGGGUUUUUUGGAUCAAAGAGCUAGCUUCAAGCUCUUUUCAAGGUCACUAGUUUGGUUUCAUUAGGAUUUAUGAGGGGAGAGCAAUCGCUGCUCAAAGUCAGUGUUUAUUUUGGUGUUUCAGAUUUUAUAUAAAACAUUGAUGGUUUGCAUUCUCAAUCGGUUUGUGCAAGUUGUGUAGCAUCUAUGGAUCAAAAUUUGGUAUUGUCUGGAUAGUCGGGUGUGCUAAGUGUAUACAAAAAUUUUUGUUAAUCUAACGAUGCAAUCAAGAGAUAUCUGGGUUUUAGUACAAAGAGUUGUCGGAAGUUGGCAGUCUAGGGUUGGAUAGGAUUUCUGUGAUAUCUGAAGAUCUACCAGUUGGAUCGACGUAAUUUUUGGCUUGGAAAUAGAAGAUUUGGAGAUCAAGUGGCUAUUCAAUUUUGAGCUGGAGUUAACGGUUGACAAAGGAGAAAUCACUUCUGGAGUUUCUACAUCAAAUUUCAAGGUUGCGGCCGAGUGUCAUCAGUGCGAUUUUUGGGCGUUUUCUUGCAAUCUGUAAGUUGGAUUGGGCUAAAAUUUUUUGAGCAUAUAGAAGGCUUAUACUGGUAUUUAGGUGCAAAAUUUCACACUAAGUGGACGGUUGGAUCAAAAGUUACAGCUUGUCAAAGCUCACUAGCUAGGAUUAGGGCUUGUUAAGAAAAAUAAAAACAACUUAAUUAUAAAAGAAAUAAAGCAAUUGGAAUAUUGUAUGGUUAAAAUGACUAUGAGGAGUGUUUUUAAAUACUUGGGAAUUGAUAUUUCAAUUAUAUUCUUCAUACAUGGAUAAAAUCUAUUAAGGUUUCUUUAUUAUUUACAAAAACAACUAUACCUUCCACAACCAGAUACCCAAUGUAUUCCCAAACAAGAGAGCACGUAAUACGACAUAAGUAGUGAACCCGACGUGAACGUUUGGGGUGGAAGGUAUUGGAUUUUGUAUGCGGUUAUUUGGAUUGAUGGUGCAAGAUGAUAAGGUUGAUUUAAGAGUUUUUGGAAGACUUGGAGCUUUGGAGGAUAUUUUGAAAAGCAAUGGUGAUAUUUGGAUUAUUAUGGAGUAUAUUAUGGCUUAUAGACAUCUUGGGGCAUUUUGAGGUAUCAUAAGUUAUUUAUUGGAGCAUUUCAAGGGAUAUUUUUUUAACAUUGUGGAAGAAAAUGGAAGAUAUUUCAAUGAAGUCUUUAGAUAGGUUGAAUACUUUGGAUGGACCAAAUAUUAAAGAGUUUUUUGAGGCUUUUUGUAUAUUCAUGGAAGAACAACAAAAGAUACAAGCAAUUGAAAGGGAUAUCACAAAGGCAUUACAAGGAAUUUUCAACAAAUUUGGGAGGUUUAACGGAUGCAAUAUCACUAAGUUUUUACAAGUUUAUACAUGUGAGAUGGAGAUAUGCCAAAUCCCUGAGGCAAAGAUGAUUUCAAGCUUUUAUUUGGCUAUUGAACCUGGGAUUCAUAGAAAGGUGAAGAGAUUACUUGAAAGGGAUGUGGAGACAUGGUCAAAAUUUCAAGAACUUUUGAAGAAAGAAUUUAUUGAUGCAAAUGAGGAUAAGAUUACCAAGCGACAAUUUUUGGAUUGGAUAGAAUUACAACCAGGCACGCAUAUGGAUCUUUAUGAAUUCUUGAAAGAAUUUGAAAAGAGGUUUUAUCGAUUUUCAUCCUCAGAGAGACAGUCAUUGGAUGUUAUAAAAAUAGAAUUAUUUUUAAAUGGUCUUGAUGAUGCCAUGGGAGACAAACUUUUUAUACUUCUUGCAGAUGAGUCUACGGAGAGUGGUUGUACUAGCAAUUGGGAAGAGUUGAAAGAAGCAACAAUUCUUUUAGCAAAGCAACAAAGAGCACAAGCUAAAGGAGUUGGAGUAUGAUCUAAGAAAUCUUCUACUUUGGCUUCUAUAUCAUCUUUAUCAAUACAAGGGAUUAAUCUUGAAAAAAGAGAAAUAGAACAGCAACUGGAGGACUUCAAAGGAGGAGCCAAUNNNNNNNNNNNNNNNNNNNNNNNNNNNNNNNNNNNNNNNNNNNNNNNNNNNNNNNNNNNNNNNNNNNNNNNNNNNNNNNNNNNNNNNNNNNNNNNNNNNNNNNNNNNNNNNNNNNNNNNNNNNNNNNNNNNNNNNNNNNNNNNNNNNNNNNNNNNNNNNNNNNNNNNNNNNNNNNNNNNNNNNNNNNNNNNNNNNNNNNNNNNNNNNNNNNNNNNNNNNNNNNNNNNNNNNNNNNNNNNNNNNNNNNNNNNNNNNNNNNNNNNNNNNNNNNNNNNNNNNNNNNNNNNNNNNNNNNNNNNNNNNNNNNNNNNNNNNNNNNNNNNNNNNNNNNNNNNNNNNNNNNNNNNNNNNNNNNNNNNNNNNNNNNNNNNNNNNNNNNNNNNNNNNNNNNNNNNNNNNNNNNNNNNNNNNNNNNNNNNNNNNNNNNNNNNNNNNNNNNNNNNNNNNNNNNNNNNNNNNNNNNNNNNNNNNNNNNNNNNNNNNNNNNNNNNNNNNNNNNNNNNNNNNNNNNNNNNNNNNNNNNNNNNNNNNNNNNNNNNNNNNNNNNNNNNNNNNNNNNNNNNNNNNNNNNNNNNNNNNNNNNNNNNNNNNNNNNNNNNNNNNNNNNNNNNNNNNNNNNNNNNNNNNNNNNNNNNNNNNNNNNNNNNNNNNNNNNNNNNNNNNNNNNNNNNNNNNNNNNNNNNNNNNNNNNNNNNNNNNNNNNNNNNNNNNNNNNNNNNNNNNNNNNNNNNNNNNNNNNNNNNNNNNNNNNNNNNNNNNNNNNNNNNNNNNNNNNNNNNNNNNNNNNNNNNNNNNNNNNNNNNNNNNNNNNNNNGUUGGAUGUUUCCAAUUUACUUGUAUAAGAUGGAUACAUGGAUUCUUGGUAUUGCAUAAAGAAUAAUGGUGUACUGAAUUUGGCACAUACCGGAGGAUGUGCAGGUUCAGAGGGGGUGGAUGUGGUGUUGUAACACGAGUAUACUGUGAAAAUAUAAAGAAAGAGGACUUUUAUUAAUGUUCAGUUACCUCGAAUAUUGGGAGCAACGACCAAUUCCAGUGUAAAUACUGAGAGGCUAGAUUCAGUCACCCCGUUACAGUCAGCCGGGGCUUACUGAAAUGCUCCGUUUGAUUCCAAUAACGGGAGUUAGCAGAAAGGGAAAGGGCCAAUUCAACGACGGGUGAGCCUGAUUCAAAGAGCCAAUUGGAUCCAAUUUCAAGACAUCCAAUCCAGGUCCUCUUAUCCAAUAUGAGACUUGAAUUGGUCGGGCAGCCCAAUGCGGUCCAAUUGCGGGAACAUCCAGGUCUUACUACGGGUCUCUUAUCCAAUAUGAGACCUGAAUUGGUCGGGCGACUCAAUGUUGUCCCGAUUACGGGGCUCCGAUUCCGUUUCAGGCUGUUCCGUCCUUUAUGCUGUUCCGGGGACGUCCUUUUGAUAAAAGGAUCUCUUAAAGGUAAAAACGGAGGAGAAAGCUCUGACGACAGAGCCAAUUCUGGAUCUAAGACGGAAGGAGCCAAUUCCGGAUCCAAGACGGAAGGAGCCAAUUCCGGAUCCUAGACGGAAGGAGCCAAUUCCGGAUCUAAGAUGGAAGGAGCCAAUUCCGGAUCUAAGAUGGAAGGAGCCAAUUUUGGAUCCAAGACGGAAGGAGCCAAUUUCGGAUCCAAGAUGGAAGGAGCCAAUUUCGGAUCCAAGACGGAAGAUUGAAGAAAUUCAGAGGCUAGGGUUUGAAAGAGGGAAGAAUUAGGGUUAAAGGAGAGGAAGGUUAAGAAAUAGAGGGGGUUUUUUCAGAUCGGGUUUUUGGAAUCGAAGAGCUAGCUUCAAGCUCUUUUCAAGGUCACUAGUUUGGUUUCAUUAGGGUUUGUGAGGGGAGAGCAAUCGCUGCUCAAAGUUAGUGUUUAUUUUGGUGUUUCAGAUUUUAUAUAAAACAUUGAUGGUUUGCAUUCUCAAUCGGUUUGUGCAAGUCGUGUAGCAUCUAUAGAUCAAAAUUUGGUAUUGUCUGGAUAGUUGGGUGUGCUAAGUGUAUACAAAAAUUUGUGUUAAUCUAACGAUGCAAUCAAGAGAUAUCUGGGUUUUAGUACAAAGGGUUGUCGGAAGUUGGUAGUCUAGGGUUGGAUAGGGUUUUUGUGAUAUCUGAAGAUGUACCGGUUGGAUCGACGUAAUUUUUGGCUUGGUAAUAGAAGAUUUGGAGAUCAAGCGGCUAUUCAAUUUUGAGCUGGAGUUAACGGUUGACAAAGGAGAAAUCACUUUUGGAGUUUCUACAUCAAAUUUCAAGGUUGCGGCCGAGUGUCAUCAGUGCGAUUUUUGGGCGUUUUCUUGCAAUCUGUAAGUUGGAUUGGGCUAAAAUUUUUUGAGCAUAUAGAAGGCUUAUACUGGUAUUUAGGUGCAAAAUUUCACACUAAGUGGACGGUUGGAUCAAAAGUUACAGCUUGUCAAAGCUCACUAGCUAGGAUUAGGGCUUGUUAAGAAAAAUAAAAACAACUUAAUUAUAAAAGAAAUAAAGCAAUUGGAAUAUUGUAUGGUUAAAAUGACUAUGAGGAGUGUUUUUAAAUACUUGGGAAUUGAUAUUUCAAUUAUAUUCUUCAUACAUGGAUAAAAUCUAUUAAGGUUUCUUUAUUAUUUACAAAAACAACUAUACCUUCCACAACCAGAUACCCAAUGUAUUCCCAAACAAGAGAGCACGUAAUACGACAUAAGUAGUGAACCCGACGUGAACGUUUGGGGUGGAAGGUAUUGGAUUUUGUAUGCGGUUAUUUGGAUUGAUGGUGCAAGAUGAUAAGGUUGAUUUAAGAGUUUUUGGAAGACUUGGAGCUUUGGAGGAUAUUUUGAAAAGCAAUAGUGAUAUUUGGAUUAUUAUGGAGUAUAUUAUGGCUUUAUAGACAUCUCGGGGCAUUUUGAGGUAUCAUAAGUUAUUUAUUGGAGCAUUUCUAGGGAUAUUUUUUUAACAUUGUGGAAGAAAAUACAAGAUAUUUCAAUGAAGUCUUUAGAUAGGUUGAAUACUCUGGAUGGACCAAAUGUUAAAGAGUUUUUUGAGGCUUUUGUAUAUUCAUGGAAGAACAACAAAAGAUACAAGCAAUUGAAAGGGAUAUCACAAAGGCAUUACAAGGAAUUUUCAACAAAUUUGGGAGGUUUAACGGAUGCAACAUCUGUAUGCCCCGGUUGAUUGUAAUGGGGUGACUGAACCUGGCCACUCAGUAUUUGCACUAGAGUUGGUCGUUGCUCCCAAUAUUCAAGGUAACUGAAUAUUAAUAAAAGUCCCCUUUCUUUAUAUUUUCAUGGUAUACUCGUAUUACAACACGACAACCACUCCCUCUGAACUUGUGUAUCCUCCGAUAUGCAUUUAUUUACCCAAUUGCUGUUUGAUUCAGAAUAUAUCCUCUACGUCUUUGUCCAGUUCAUCUUCGUCACCUUCAUUAUCCAAAUCACUUUCAUCUUCUUGCUGCGGAAUCUCUAUACCUUCAUUAAGGUCUUCCAUAUUCAUCUCCGCAUGUCUUCGUUUAAAUAUUUUUACUUGCUUCCCUGUAAUUGGUACUUUCAAUUUUGUACCAUCUAACUCCCAUAAUGAGUAAGUCGCAUUAUCAUGAACAGUUGUUACUACAUAUGGUCCAAAUCAACGUUUUGAAAAUUUCCGCAAAGUACUAUGUUGAUUAUCCAGACUAUUGUCAUAAACAAGUAUCCAGUCACCUUCUUCGAUUGCUUUAGGUCUCAAUCAAUGUUGCUUAUCGGAUCGCGCCUUGUUUGGUAACCUUGUUCUUUUUAAUCUUUCCAAUGCUAUUUGCACAUCUUCCGAUCUUUGCUCCAAUUGUCGAAUCCUAAUAGCCAGAAGUUCUUCUCUUCUCAAUCCAUCUUCCCAUGGUAGCAUACUCCAAGUAAGUACUUUUCUUCAAUCGACAUAAUUGGUUUUUGACCUGUCAUAAGUUCUACUGGCAUAUAUCCUGUCACCGAACUAUGUGUUGUUCGAUCAGCCCAUAAUGCAAAUGACAAAAGCCGUGGCCACUCUUUAACCUUCCCAUUACAAGCUUUAACCAAUGCUUUCACAAUCGGUGGGUGACCGCGUUCGCUUUUCGCAUUCCCUUCUGGAUUAUAAGCAAUAGUUAGUGAUAGUUUAACUCCACAUUUUUCAAAGAACUUACAAGCUUCUUGUGCAUUUAAUUUUCCAUGAUCUGCAGUGAUUUUUCCUACGCACCCGUAACGGCAAAUGACAUCUUCAAGCAAAAACCUACAAAUCUCCUGUGUAGAUUUUGUCGUCAAUUCUCUUCCUUCUACUUGAUUUGAUAAAUCUUCACGAGCUAAAACCAAAUAUCUCAUCUGUCAUAACCCAACCGGCAUAAUAAUCAAAUCUACAACCCAUUUAAAAUGAAUAGCCAAAGGAUAUGUAGGAUGAAGACCAUCUCGAUGUCAGAUAUUAGAAUAUGAUUGACAGAUUUAACAUGACUCUACAAAUGAGAGCACAUCUCGAUACAUAUUUUUCCACCAAUAUCGUUCCUUGAGUUUAGCAAAAGUAGCCCAGAUUCCUCUAUGCCCUGCCCAUAAACUAUCAUGAAACUCCUUUAAUAAUUUUAGUUUUUCUUCUUUUUUGCCUAUCAUACGUCGUGGCAUCCCAAUUCCUUUCUUCGGUCUCUUCUAUAAGAAUCCAUCUCGAAGUAAAAAUCCAUAUUCUUUUUUUCUUAUUUGUUUGAAUUUUUCUGUAGAACAAUUCUCCUACUUAGUCAAGGUAUUCAAGUAAUGACUAAUAUCCAAUAAUUCUCCUUCAUAAGAUUCUUCAAGAAAUAGCUUGUCUUCUCUGUUGAGAUUUGAUAUUGAAUAGAAUUUCAAUCCGACGUCAUCAAUGUCUUCAACCAUUUCAUCCUCCCUCUCGUAUCUUGCUCGAGAUAGCAUGUCUGCUACUAAAUUGUCCUUCCCAGUACCAUGCUUGAAUUCCAGAUUUAGUGACUUAAUAUAAGAAAUCCAUCUCAACAUUGCAAUAUCUGGUGUUGAAUAGUUAAUAAUCAUUCUAAGCAAUGGCAAGCAAUCUGUUUCAAUUACUACUACAGCCCCAAUCAAAUAGUCCUUUUCAGCUUUCAUAGCCGAAACGACUCCCCAAAGUUCUCUUUUGACUUGCGAAUAUGCAGGCUGACGAAUACUUAAAACUUUAGCCCCAAAUCGAACUGCAAAUCUACUCCCAUUUGAAUCAUCUUGACCCACAACCCAUCCAAUGGCAAUUGGACUAGCGUCUACAGUAAGAAUCAGUGGUCUAUUGCACUUAUAAUCAACCUUCCUCAAUAUUGGAGGUAACAUCAAUAAUUUCUUCAAUCUUUGCAUUGUCUUAAUGUACCUUUCUUGCCAUUUAAAUCGGUAACCCUUGCGUAACAGUUCAUAUAAUGGAUCGGCUAUGUGAGCAUAAUGAGGGAUCCAGAUUCGAUAAAAUACACAUGCACCCAAAAACCUGCGAACCUCUGUUAAAGAACCACAAUCCUCUUUCAUCCUUCCAAUUGCAUCAACUUUAGUUAGAUCUGGUUUUCUUCCAUAAGAUCCACAUAAAUGUCCAACAAUUACAGCUCUCGUACUCCAAAUACGGACUUCAUACCCGAUAAUGUAAGAUGAACUUCUCCAAGCCGAGUUAAAAUCUUUUCACAAUCUUGUAUAUGAUCAACAACAUAUUUGCGACACUCCCUCGUAUCUAAAGUUUCAUCCUUGUCUCCUUCUCUGCACCCUUUUAUAGGAACAUCAUCCAGAAAAGGUAUAGUCUUUUCCGAAAUAAAAUCUCUCAAUACCUUAUUCAUCCCAUUCAUCAUAUGCGCAACUGAAUUGGUUGCGCCUUGAGGAAGAGUGUACAUUCUUACCAAUCCAAGCAGUGUUCUCAUCGUUGUCAUAUCUCUACUUCCUUCGGUAAGUUAAAAUUGAUCAUAACCUGAAUACAAGUCACCCAUUGAAUAGAUCGCCCUUCCAGUAAACGCCUCAGCAAAUUCAUCCACAAUAGGUCGAAUUCCUACGUUCCUGACAGUUACAGCAUUCACCGGUUGCAUAUCUUGAAUAAACCGUAGUGACCUAUUCUUCUAAGGUACCGUAAACCAUCGACUAGUAUACGGCGCAAAUGAAGGUUCCAAUAUUUUCAUCUUUAUCUGUCCUUAGUAGUGGAAUCGGUCUUAGAUUCGAAGGUACAUGUGGUACAGUGAAGAUAACCAUAGGUGUUACAAUAUUUGGAUCCACAUACCCAAUUUCAUGAGAUUCGAAAGCAAAUGAUCUACCUUGUUUAGCCAACAUCUUUUUAAAGCAAGUAAUUUCCUCCGGCAAUAAAGAACCAUCAGAACCAAUCUUCAAUUCUUCAAAAGUCUCUUUAGUAAACCGAUGUCCAAUACUCAUUGGAUGUCUUAAACUUGCUUCUUUUGAUGCUUCUCCCAUUUGUUCUUUAGAAUCCUCUGGUAAUGGUCCGACAACAGGCUUUACUUUCUUAUCUUCUGUUUUAUAUCUCGUCUCUACAGUGACUUCUGGUGCUUGAAAAGAUUCAAGCAUGGUAUAAACCUCUCUUGAAUGAAUCUCAACAAUCUUAUUAUUAUCCCCUAACCCAAUAGAUGUAAUCAAUUCCAAUGAAUCUUCCAGUCCAUUUUCUUCAUAAACACCUAAAAUGCUUUCAUCAUCUUGCAAUGUACCUAACUUGCAUAAUUGUCCUUCAAUAUCAUAUAAUCUUUUUCUUUCUUUUCUUUUAAAAUCAUCAACUUUUUUAUACAUAAUAUUUCCAUUCUCCAAUAUACCAAUAGAACUCGCAUCGGAGGUACCUUCAUCUCGCAAGAGUACCUCCUCUUUUGUACCUCCAUGAUCUCGCUUUAGAGUGGAACCUCACCAAAAUCCUUAAAUCCUUCAAUAAUCUUUGGCAAUGGUUGCUCCCUCAACCUAUCGUGACUCCGAUCAUGGAUAGGAGGUACUGCUAGAAAAUGUACAGUUUUCCUCCCAUCCUCGCUACGUAUCCUUGUAUAAGCAGAACCGAUCUCAAGUACUUUUGUUUCCAUCCGCGUUGCCGUAAUAUAAGGUUGUCCUAAGAUCGACGGAUAAAACGUUGUAUCUUGAACAAAAAAAUGUUGCUCCAUCGCAACAUCCCCAAUAAGAAUUUUGACAUCUGGAUAAGCUCCAUAUAAUUCGCUCCAUGUGUUAUUAGCUGCUCGUAUUGUCCAUCCAUGUUCCAUAUCAAUUGGCCAUUUUUGCCUCUUAUAAAGAUCUUUAGACAUGAGAUUUAUUUCAGAACCAUAGUCGACUAAAGCAACAAUUGGUUCUUCUAUAUCUCCUACUUUUACCAAUACCUCAGUAGUUGCCCUUGCCUAAUGCUUUCGAGUAUAAUGGCUCAAAGUUUCCAUUUCUUUGUCACUAGAAUCUUCGAAACGUACUCGUUGAUUAUACCCAUUCUUUUCAUUUGUUAGUUGCUUGUAACCAAUAUCAACCUCUUCUUCAUCUCUAUAUAUUAUUGCAUCAAUAGCAUGACUCAUUCCAGUUUCGUCCAUUAAUUGCCUCUUUCGCUUAAUGCUGUCAAUGAUAACAUCAUAAAACUCCUUCUUUGCAAUUCUCAAAACUUCUUUCAAUGUGAAUCCCACCUUAGCAUUUAAUAUACGUUCUUCCAACACCCCUUUCAUAUUUGUUGCCGCUUCAAUGUCAGAAAGUAGCUUAUAAGCAAUUGAUUUGCCUUUAUCUUUUGUCUCCUUUGUUUUUUCUUCCUAUGAUGCUAAGGUUUUCUUUACAGGCAAUUCUUGUGAAGCUGCCUCCCGAUGUCGUGUUGUAACACGAGUAUAUAGUGAAAAUAAAAAGAAAGGGGAAUUUUAUUAAUAUUCAGUUACCUCGAAUAUUGGGAGCAUCGACCAACUCCAGUACAAAUACUGAGUGGUCAGGUUCAGUCACUCCGUUACAGUCAGCCGGGGCAUACUGAAAUGCUCUAUUCGAUUCCAAUAACGGGAGUCAGCACGAAGAGAAGGACCAAUUCACACGACGGGUUCGAGGAGCCAAUUGGAUCCAAUUUCGAUAAUCCAAUCCGGGUCCUCUUAUCCAAUAUGAGACCUGAAUUGGCCGGUCAACCCAAUGCACUCUAAUUACGGGAAAUCCAGGUCUUACUACGGGUCUUAGCCAAUCUGACGCGAGGACCAAUUUGACCCAAUUACGGGAACAUCAAAGUUACUACGGGCAUCUUUCCCAAUAUAAGACCUGAAUUGGUCGGGCGACUCAAUGUGGUCCCGAUUACGGGGUUCGAUUCUGUUUCAAGCUAUCCUGUUCUCUGUGCCGUUUCAAGGAACGUUGUUUUCGAUAAAUGGAUUUCUUAAAGGUAAAAACGGAGGAGAAAGCUUGACGGCGAGAGCCAAUUUUGGAUCCAAGCUUGAGGUGGGAGCUAAUUCUGGAUCUAAGACGAAAGAUUGAAGAAAUUCAGAGGAUAAGGUUAGGGGGGAUAUAGUUUUGAGGGGGGAGGUUUUUUCUUUUCGGGGAAUCGGGGGGGGAGCUAGUUUUCAAGCUUUUGCAAGGUUACCAGUUCGGUUUCAUUGGAGGUUUUUGAAGAUCAAGGGAAUUUAAUGUGAGGAGCUUGAUGCUUUGGAUCGGGGAAGGAAAGACAUAGAAUUUGGAUUUUUCUUCUUCGUAGAGUUUUGGGAAGACUGAGGCAAUUGCUGCUGAAGUCAGUGUUGUAAUGGUGAAUCGGGAUUUUUAAAUGAAGUGGGUUUGAAUACUCUUGACUGUUUUUUAAAAUCGAGUUACGUCUGUGAUUGAAGGAUUAAAGGGGUGUCUAUAGGAUUGAGUAUGCGGAGUGAAUGAAAUUUAUUGGGUUAAUCUUACAGGAUAGUCAGUGGAUACAAGAUCGUAAGUAUAAAAGGGUAUUGAAGAUUAACAGUUUGGAUUGUUUGGGGUUCUUUGCAAUGUCUAGAGACCUAUCGGCUGGGGCAAAAAAAAAGACUUCGACAAGCUGUCGAAGAGCAUCCGUAUAGAUUUAUUGUACAUUGUUGCAGUCGUUUAUAUUCCAGCAGUCAAAAACUGAUAGACUGCUUGACUAUCGGCGAAUCUCCAUACUACCUUCUACAGCCAGACACCUGGCGUGUCUCGAGCAGAAAAGCUUGUAAUACGACACCGAACCUUGUCUCCUCGAGUUUGCCUCUUAAAAGAAUUUUCUUCUCUAUUAUCAUCAAAAUUUCCUCGUCUCUUUUCUUCCAUCAAAGCUUCAUAUUGGCUCUUAGUAAUAUAUGCAUGAACUGAAAGAGACUCAACAGGAUCCUCCCAACCUGUUCUACCUCGUAUUGUAGCUGCAGUCCUCAAUAACGCUUCUCGAGGUAAUUUUCCUUCUUGCAUUGUAGAAACGGCAGAAGCCCAAAACUCACUAGUUUCCGUACUUCCACCAAGGUCAUCAUCUACUCUAGCACCAUAACUUGUACUUUCUCAUGCUGUUGUUUCAUGCUCUUUUAGGUAAUCUUGAACCAAUGCUCUUAUUCCUCUCUUGUCAAAAUUGGUCUAAAGAAGAUCAUCCCUAUCUUUCAAUGCUAUCUUCCCAUCUUUCGAGCAAAUAAUUCCCUGCCGUAUCAUAUUAUUAAAUUCAUUGCAAUCUUUUCUAGUGUGUGAAGCGUCAUCACACCAAAUGCAUCUUUGUACAUAUUCUUAUUUUGAAACAUUCUUCGAAUUGUUUAUAGAAGUAUUUUCUUCAAGUCUUGCCAAUUUGAUUUGAAGAUCUCACAUUCCUCGUAUAAUUUCUUCCAUCUCUAUAUCUGCUUUCUUUGAUAAGGAUGUCGAAGGUUGAAAUGUAGGCAUUGUUGGUGGUGUUGUACGUAUUGGAGCUUUGGGUGCUUGUACUGUUUUCAGAAUAUUCUUCCUAUCCUUCCUCCUUUCUUUUUUUGUAAGCAAUCCCACCGCAUCUUCAACGUUAUUCCACUUCGUUGUCAAUCCUUUAUCUUCUUCUUUGUCUUCAAGAAGGAGUUCUAAUUUCCCUUGCAAUUCUCCAUUAGCAGCUUGAAGAAAUAAAUCAACUUUGUUCGGCUCCAAUGUCAAUUUUUCUACCUUCAACAAUUGAGAGUACUACCUUUCAAAUUCCCUUAGUAGCUCUGUUGCUUGUAAAUUCUUAUUAGGCCGUUCAAUCCAUUCCAAAAAUAGCUCCUAGUAACGUGAUCAACAUCUUCCAAGAAAUAUUUGUCUUUCAAUGCAUGUGAAAAAACCUCCCAUGAAUUCCCAUAACGAUCCGUAAUCCAUGUAAUGUGGUCUUUUAUCUCCGGUAUCGUGGCAAGUCCAAAUAGUUCAACCAUUUUCUUUUCAGAAACCCGAUUUAAUUCCAUUUCAUGAACAUAACAUCUUAAAUACCUUGAAAUAUUCCUUCCAUCAAAUUGAUCAAUUUUAUUGACCACUGCUUGCAAUGCUUUGGUUGCCAAAGCUUCCUUUCGAUCAUUGCUUUGCUAUUGCUGCAUUGAUAAUGAGAAGGCUUGAAACAUACUAGCAAUAGACGGAUCCAUGUGCAUACCUUGUCCUUUAGAAGACUCCCCACUAGAAACUCCUCCCAAAAAUCCUUCAAAAAUUUUAUUUUCGUUUUCCAUAAAAUAAAGAUAAAAUCAACUGAAAUUCAAUACCUUCUACCUCAAGCUUUCACGUCGGAUUCACCACUUUUAUUGUAUUACGUGCUUUCGUGCUCGAGAAUGCGUCGUGCAUCUGGCUGUAGAAGGUAGUAUGGAGAUUCGCCAACAGUCAAGCAGUCUAUCAGUUUUUGACGGCUGGAAUAUAAACGACUGCAAGAAUACAUCAAAAAUCUAUACGGUUGCCCUUCGACUGCUUGUCGAAGUCCUUUUUGCCCCAGCCGGUAGGUCUCUAGACGUUACAGAGAACCCUGAAUACCCCAAACUGUUAAUCUUCGAUACCGCUUUGUACUUACGAUCUUGUAUCCAUUGAUUGUCUUCUUAGAUUAACCCAAUAAAUUUCAUUCACUCCCCAUACUCAAUCCUAUAGACACCUUUUUUAUUCUUCAAUCACAGACGUAACUCAAUUUCACAAAACAGUUUAGAGUAAUCAAACCCACUUCAUUAAAAUCUCGAUUCACCAUUACAACACUGACUUCAGCAACGAUUGCCUCAGUCUUCCCAAAACCCUAUGAAGAAAAAAAAUCCAAUUCUCUGUCUUUAUUCUCCGCACGAAGCAUGAAGCUAGCUCUUUCCUAUCUUCAAAACCUCCCCAUCAAGAAAAAACCCUCUUUCCCCUCCCUCCUUUGUUAACUUUAAUUCUGAAUUUCUUCAAUCUUCUAUCUUGGAUCCGAAAGUGGCUCUAGCCGUCAGAGGUUAGAUCCGAAAUUGGCUCUUGCCAUCAAAGCUUAGAUCCAAAAUUGGCUCUCGCCAUCAAAGCUUUCUCCUCCAUUUUUACCUUUAAGAGAUCCAUUUACCGAAAACAAUGUUCCUUGAAAUGGAACAGAGAAUAGGACAGCCUGAAACAGAAUCGAAACCCCGUACUCGAGUCCACAUUGACUCGCCCGACCAAUUUAUGUCUCAUAUUGAAUAAGAUGUCCGUAGUAACCUAGAUGUUCACGUAAUUAGACUGCAUUGGGUUGCCCGGCCAAUUCAGGUCUCAUAUUGGAUAAGAGGACCCGGAUUGGAUUCUUGAAAUUGGAUCCAAUUGGCUCUUUGAACCAGGCUCAUCCGUCGUGUGAAUUGGUCCUUUCUCUUCCUAUUGACUCCCGUUAUUAGAAUCAAAUGGAGCAUUUCAGUAUGCCCCGGCUGUUUGUAAUGGGAUGACUGAACUUGGCCACGCAGUAUUUGCACUAGAGUUGGUCGUUGCUCCCAAUAUUCGAGGUAACUGAACAUUAAUAAAAGUCCCCUUUCUUUAUAUUUUCAUGCUAUACUCGUAUUACAACACGACAUCGUAGUGACCGGAUCUUUAUUGUAGCCCAUCGAACCUUGUCAUGUUCAACAAAUGCUUCCGAAAAUGCCUCCAAAAAGAUUUCAAAGUUGUUUAGUAUAGAUGAUCAUUUUUCAAACAAAAGAGCAAACGAUGAUAGAGCUUGUCCUGUAAGUAAGGUUCCAACAAGUCCAACACGUGACUCCUCCGUUGGAUAGCAUUCGGGAUGUAAAAUUGUUAUCAACCUGAUUUGAUUGAUGAAUCCUCAAAACUUCAAAUGCGUACCAUUAAACUUGUCCGAAAGGCUAACUCGGGGCUCCUUAUGUUGUAGAACUAGCAGUGCUUGUCGAACCUUAAGCAAAGUUGUUUCUCCAAGUGUGGAAGUUUGAGACUAGUACCACCUAGAUUGUGCCAUCCCAGAUGCUCCAUCAUUAUGAAGCCUUGCCACGACUCCUUCAAUAUUUGUAGUUCUUUGCGAUAACAUAGCGAGGGCAUUCAUCAUGGCAUCCAACUUGGACUUCGAACAUUCUGUCAUACUAAUGUCUUGGUCCCCGGCCAUUCUAAGAGAAGGACAGAAAUGACUCUACAAGAAGAUAAUAUUGGUUUAGAAGAGGGUACUCCGCAACCUCUAUAACGCUUUAAGAGCUUCAAAAAAAGAGGUAAUCCACUCUCUCCAAGAAGAAUAAGACUCCAAUAUAGUAACAAAAGAAGUAUUAGUUUAGAGGAGGGUAAUCCGCAACCUCUAAAAUGCUAGUACACCUUCAAGCAGAGGGAUAAUCUACACUCUAACGAGGAAGAAACUAGCUCUGAUAUCAGAAGUGAGUUCAAUCUCGACAAACUAUCACAGACAUAGAAAUAUAGGCUCGAGUUCUAAUAAGAAGUUUAAGAAGAACUGACAAGAAUUAGAUUAAUCAGAUGAAUAUAAGAACAACACCAGAGAGGUGAGCUAGAACUCCAAGAGAUGUGUUGUCGAGACUGAAGAACUCUUCAGCCUCGAUUCUAAUAUAUACUCCUAUUUAAGAAGCUUCUUAAGUAACUUCCACUAACUAGGAAGCUUCUCAAAAAACUUCCACCAACUAGGAAGCUUCUCAAGCAACUUCUACCAAUUAGGAAGCUUUUCAAGCAACUUCUACCAACUAAGAAGCUUCUCAAGCAACUUCCACCAAAUAGGAAGCUUCUCAAGUAACAUCCAUCAACUAAGAAGUUUUUCAAGCAACUUCCAUCAACUAGGAAGCUUUUAGAAGGUUCCAGAGACUUACUUCUAGAAGGUUCUAGAAAAUUGUCUCUAGAAGGUUAUAAGUAUUAUGUUCCUAAUAAUAAUUCUUUUUCAAUAAUAUAUAAUCUUUUUUUUCUUUUCUUUUAAAAUCAUCAACUUUCUUAUACAUAAUAUUUCAAUUCUCAAAAAUACCAAUAAAACUUACAUCAAAGGCACCUUCAUCUUAAGAGAGUACCUUCUCUUUUGUACCUCCAUAAUCUCGCUUUAUAGUGAUACUUCUAUAAAAUCCUUAAAUCCUUCAACAAUCCUUGGCAAUGGUUUCUCCCUCAACCUAUCUCGAUUUCGUUCAUGAUUAGGAGGUACUGUCAAAAAUUAUAUAGCUUUCCUUCCAUCUUCACUACUCUUGCAUAAGUAGAACUAUCAUCAAGUACUUUUGUUUCCAUCUGUGUUGCUAUAAUAUAAGGUUGUCCUAAAAUAAAUGGAUAAGACGUUGUAUCUUAUACAAAGAAAUGUUGUUCUGUUGUAACAUUUUUAAUCCAAAUUUUGACAUUUGGAUAAACUCGAUAUAAUUCGCUUCAUGUGUUAUUAGCUGCUCAUAUUACCCAUCCAUGUUCCAUAUCAAUUGGCCAUUUUUGCUUCUUAUAAAGAUCCUUAGAUAUAAGAUUUAUUUCAAACCCAUGGUCAACUAAAGCAACAAUUGGUUCUUCUAUAUCUCCUACUUUCACCAAUACUUCAGUAGUUGCCCUUGCCCAAUAUUUCUGAGUAUAAUGGCUUGAAGCUUUUAUUUCCUUAUCACUAUAAUCUUUGAAAUGUAUUCAUUCAUUAUAUCCAUUCUUUUCAUUUGUUGAUUGCUUAUAACCAUUAUCAACCUCUUCUUCAUCUUUAUAUAAUCCUGCAUCAAUAGCAUGACUCAUUCCAGCUUCAUGUAUUAAUUGCCUCUUUUGCUUAAUGCUGUCAAUGAUAAUAUCAUGAAAUUUCUUCUUUACAAUUCCCAAAAUUUCUUUCAAUGUGAAUUCCACCUUAGCAUUUAAUAUACAUUCUUCCCACACUCCUUUUAAAUUUGUUGCCGCUUUGAUGUGAGAAAGUAACUUAUAAGCAAUUGAUUUAUUCUUAUCUUUUAUCUCCUUUGUUUUUUCUUCCAAUAAUGCUGAAGUAUCUUUUAUCGGUAAUUUUUGUGAAGCUGCCUCAAGAGCCUGGUCUCCUCGAGUUUGUCUCUUGGAAGAAUUUCCUUCUCUUGUAUCAUCAAAAUUUUCUCGUCUCUUUUCUUCCAUCAAGCUUCAUAUUGGCUUUGAGUAAUAUAUGCAUGAAUUGAAAGAGACUCAACAGGAUCCUGCCAAUCUGUUGCACCUCGUAUUGUAGUUGCAGUCCUCAAUAAUGCUUCUUGAGGCAUUUUUCUUUUUUGUAUCGUGGAAAUGGCAAAAGUCCAAAAUUCACUAGUUUCUAUACUUCUACCAAAGUCAUCAUCUAUUCUAGCACCAUAACUUACACUCUCUCAUGUUGCUAUUCCAUAUUCUAUUAAAUAAUCUUGAAUCAAUACUCUCAUACCUCCUUUGCCAAAAUUAGUUUGAAAGAGAUCCUCUAUAUCUUUUAAUACUAUCUUUCCAUCUUUCCAGUAAAUAACUCCUUGUUGCACCAUAUUAUUAAAUUCACUACAAUCCUUCUUAGUAUGUGAAACAUCAUCACACCAGAUACAUCUUUGUACAUAUCGUUGUUUUGAAACAUUCUUCAAAUUGUUUGUAGAAGUAUUUUCUUUAAGUCUUGCCAAUUUGAUUUGAAGAUCUUGCAUUUUACGUAUAAUUUCUUCAAUCUCCAUCUUUCCUUUCUUUGAUAAAGAUAUCGAAGGUUGAAUAGUAGGCAUUGUUUGUCGUGUUGUAUAUAUUGGAUUUUUAGGUGCUUUUACUACUUUUGGAAUAUUACUCCUAUCUUUCCUCCUUUCUCUUUUUACAAGCAAAUCCACUGCAUUUUUAACAUUUUUCCACUUUGUUGUCAAUCCUUUAUCUUCUUCUUUGUCUUCAAGAAGCAAUUCCAAUUUCCCUUGUAAUUCUCUAUCAGCAGCUUGAAGAAAUAAUUCAACCUUGUUCGGCUCUAAUGUCAAUUUUUAUAUCUUUGAUAAUUGAGAAUACUACCUCUCAAAUUCCCUUAGUAGCUCUAUUGCUUGUAAAUUCUUAUUAGGCCGCUUAAUCCAUUCUAAAAAUAAUUUCUUAGUAAUAUGAUCAGUGUCUUCUAAGAAAUAUUCGUCUUUUAAUGCAUGUAAAAAAACCUCCCAUGAAUUUCCAUAAUAUUCCAUAAUUGAGGUAAUAUGUCUUUUUAUCUCCGGUAUCAUGGCUAGUCCAAAUAAUUCAACCAUCUUCUUCUCAAAAACCUGAUUUAAUUCCAUUUUUUGAACUUUACAUCUUAAAUACAUUGAAAUGUCCCUUCCAUCAAAUUGGUCAAUUUUAUUGAACACUACUUAUAAAACUUUGGUCGCUAAAGCUUCUUUGUGAUCAUUGGUUUACUAUUGCUGCAUAGAUAAUGAUAAGGCUUGAAAUAUACUAGCAAAAGAUGGAUCCAUGUACAUACCUUGUCCUUUAGAAGAAGCUCCACUUGAAGCUCCUUCAAAAUUUCUCAUUCUCCAUAAAAUAAAAACAGAAAUAAAAGAAUCCUAAUACCUCCCACCUCAAGUGUUUUACAUCAGAUUCACCACUUAUGUUGUAUUACGUGCUAUCUAGCUUGAGAACAAAGCGGGCAUCUAGUUGUAAAAGAUAAAAUAAUAUUUUGUAAGUAUCCAAAUAGGCUAGUGGGUUUCAACCAUCUAAAUACAAAUUAUUUCAGAUUUCAAUGUAAAAGCUCAAUCUCAAUACAAAGUACUUAGAAACACUAUUUUUAAUAACUUCAAGUUAUUAUAAGUACAAAGUCUUUUGUUACUUGUUAGUUUUAUUUUUAUUUUUAUUUUAUUAUAUUUUCUUUUAUUUUUUCAACCCUAACCUUAGACAGCGGACUUUGGUAAGCUGUAAUUCCCAAUCUGAUUGUCCGAUUGUUGUUAAUUUCUACCACUAGUGUCUUUACAAGCCUUUUAAAUACUCAAGAAGUUUCAAUCCAAUCUAACUUACAAAUUGCAAGAAAAUACCAUAAAUCCACACUGAUGUAUCUUGACCGCCGUCUACAAGUCCUCAACUUAUCAUGCCAAAAGUCACCUUAUUCCAGCUGGUAGAUCUCCAGAUAUUAUAGAAAUCCUAAACAACCCCAAUCUGCUAACUUCUAAUACUUCUUUACACUAUUGGUCAAAUAUCCUCUAUGUGUUCGUCAAAUUAAUACAAACUUUUGUAAGCACUCAGCAUACUCAACCGUUUAGACACUUCUAAAUUUCAACUGCAAAAAUUUCUCCAAUUUCACAAAAUAAUCAAGAGUACCAACCUUAACUUUAUUGCAAAAAAAUACCCAAAUCACCAAUACAAACACUGACUUUCAGCAACGAUCUCGAAAGUCCUUUCAAAUCCUAUGAAACUCAAUUCUAUACCUUUUGAAGGAGCUUGAAGCUAGCUCUCCGAUCUCAAAAUCCCGAUCUCCGAAUGCCUUCUUCUUUUUCUUCUUCUCUCCUUUAACUCCGUGAGGUCCUCUAUUCUUCCGCCUUAGACUCCGAAUUGGAACAGCAGACCCGCCUCCAUAGAAUUCCCGCCUGUAAGAGGAUCUUUCCACAGAAAGGAUGUUUUCUUGAAAUGACAUAGAGAACGGAAUACCUUGAAAUGGAAUCAAAGCCUCCGUAGUCGGGACCUCGAUGAAUUGUCCAACGGAAUCAGGUCUCAUAUUGGAUAAGAGGCCUAUAAUAGGACCUGGAUUGGAUGUCCCCGUAAUUGGAUCAAAUUGGCCCUUCACGUUCGCUCAUUAAUGUCAUAGCCGCACCAAUGAAUAAGAUACUCCAACUUGCCCCACCUUCGCCGUUGUCAUAAUGUGUGAAGUCUUGCUUGAGAAUGCUCCGGGUACUAGGUUGUAGAAGGAAGAAUAGAAAUUGCGAUAACAAAAUCCUAAAUAGAAUACUAACAAUGCUUUAAUUAGACUAUAAUAAUGGUAAAAAAACGUAAUCAAAUUCAAAUCAACUCAAAGAAAUUUCAAACAAACAAUAAAAUUCUUAAAAAAAUAUUAGAAUGAUCACAAAUUUUACUCAAAUAUAUGUCAAUUCAACCUUAAUUUAACUCUAGUUAAAAUCCUAUUGAAUUUCACUCAACUUUAGACCAAAUCUAAUUAAAUCUUAAACCCUAAUAAUUCCUAAACCCUAAGUCAAAUCCUAAAUAAAUCUUAAAUUAAACCCUAUUCCAAACCCUAAAUCCUAAACCCACCCUAAAUCAAAUCCUAAACCAAAUCCUAAUCCAAGCCUAAACCCUAAUCCAAACCUUAAAUCAAACCCUAGCCAAAUCCUAAUCCAAAUCCUAAUAAUUCCUAUGACAGAUUUAAACCUCAAUAUCUAAUGAAUAAACCAUUGAUCUCAAUUCAAAAUUUGCACACUUCUUAAAAAUCAAGUUCAAAACAAGUAAAAAACUUUUGAAAAGGAUCGGAUUACCAAAUUGACGAAAACCUCAAAAAUGUGUUCGGGGGUUAGCCGGCCUCCUUCUCCAAUCUUGUUGCCAACUUUCCCGAGCCAAUUUCUCUUCUUUUCGCCAUUCAAUUGGUUUCAAAUUUCUCAUGGACAUAGAAAAACAAGUCUAAUAUCCUCUUACAUAAGUUUUACUCCAAUCCAACUAGUAGAUUGCAUGAAAUCUUAAAAAACCCUCACUGGACCUAAAAUUCUACUUUUUGAGACCUUGACUCACUUAAACCUCAAUAUCUCUCAAUUCAACUGUUAGAUCAAGCUCAAAUUCACAACAUGUGUUUAACACAAUUAUAACCAUGAACCCAAAAAAAUUCAUUUGUAGAUCUGUAACAAAACUCUCGAAAUCACUCAAAACAUAAACCCUAUUUUAUUUCAUAAAACCCAAGUCAUCCAAAAAAAAACUCAACUUUGCAAAGCUCUUACAAAUUCAUAUCAACUCCAAAUCAUCCAAAAUCAAUGCCCAUAAAAACCUUAUCUAAUCUUCUCUCAAAUCCUAUUCUCCGAUUUGCCAAAGUGUUCUGGAGUCGUCGUCGAGACUCAAUUUUGUGCCUCAGGGUCUGAUUUCGACCCUGGUUCAUAACCGGCCCUCUCCGGGUAUCAAUAUUUAGUUUUUCUAAGUAACUUUUUUCUAGAAUUUACUCUUAACUUUCUUCUAAAGAUUCGUGUAUCAUUUAUUUUCCCAAUCUUUUUUGAUUUGCCUUACUUAUGGUACUACAAAAUAAGUAGAAGUCACCUUUCUAAAAGGCAACAUUGGUACCUUUUAAUUUUUCUACCCCUUUGGCUAUUAAGUAUAUUUCUAAGAUAAUUUGUUCUAAUACUUUGAACUAAGAUCUCUUAAAUUAUAAUAAUCUCCAUACUCUUUCACCUAUUAAUUGUGUUACAUCAUGACAAUGUAUUUCUCGUUUGAACUUGAUUGACUUUCCAUUGAGUCGGUGGAAUCAUGGUCUGAUUACUGAAUUAUUGUUGCCUUUGCCAAUUCCAACAAUUAGCUAUUAAGUGCUUUCCUCCGCAAAAUGUACAUUGAUCCAUCAUUUGUGAGGGUGAAGGGCAUUCUGUUACCAAAUGACCAUAGCCCUUACAAUUACUUUACCAUACAUUGGUCCUAGUAUUAGUAGGCUUGCGCCACUUCUCCUUAUCUUUGGCCAUAUUAACGGCCAUUUCUUCCAUUUUCUUCGUCAAGUCAAUAAUAAGGUUUCAUUAGAAUCUUUUGGGAUUAGUAUUAAUAGUAACUCUGCCGUACUUAAGGCUUGUCAUUGAUACAGAAAAUAUGGAACAUACGUUGUUGUAUUACAUGCUAUCUAGCUUAAGAAUGCACUAGGCAUCUCGUUGUGGAAGAUAAAACAAUGUUUUACAAGUAUCCAGAUACGCUAAUGGGUUUCAACCAUCUAAUUACGAAGUAUUUGAGAUUUCAAUGUAAAAGCUCAAUCCUAAUACAAAGUACUUAGAAGCACUAUUUUAAAUAACUUUAAGAUAUUAUAAGCACAAAGUCUUUUAUUAUUUGUUAUUUUUUUAUUUUAUUUUAUUUUAUUUUAUUUUUUAUUUAUUAUUUUUUAUUUUAUUAUAUUUUAUUUUAUUUUUUCAACCUUAACCCUAAACAACGAGCUUUGACAAGUUGUAAUUCUCAAUCUGACCAUCUGAUUGUUGUAAACUUCUACCACUAGUGUCUUUGCAAGUCUUCUAAAUGCUCAAGAAGUUUCAAUCCAAUCUAACUUACACAUUGCAAGAAAAUGCCAUAAAUCCACACUGAUGUAUCUUGAUCGCCGCCUAGAAGUCCUCGACUUAUCAUACCAAAAGUCACCUUAUUCCAGCCAAUAGAUCUCUAGAUGUUAUAGAAACCCUAGACAACCUCAAUCUGCUAACUUUCGAUAUCUCUUUAUACUAAUGGUCAAAUAUCCUCUAUCUGUUCGUUAGAUUAACACAAACUUUUGCAUGCACUCGGCAUACUCAACCCUUUAGACACCUCUAAAUUUCAACUGCAAAAGUUUCUCCAAUUUCACAAAACAGUCAAGAAUACCAGCCUUAAUUUUAUUACAAAAAAAAAUCCAAAUCACCAAUACAAACAUUGACUUUCAACAACGAUCGCAAAAGUCCUCUCAAAUCUUAUGAAAUCAAAUUCUAUACCUUUCAAAGGAGCUUGAAGCUAGCUCUCCAAUCCAAAAAUCCCGAUCUCGGAAUGCCUUCUUCUUUUUUCUGUCUUUUCUUUUAACUCCGUGAGGUCCCUCAUUCUUCCGCCUUGGGCUUCGAAUUGGAAAAGCAGACCCGCUUCCAUAGAAUUCUUGCCUCUAAAAAGAUCUUUCUAUGGAAAAGAUGUUUCUCUGAAACUGCAUAGAGAACGGAAUAACUUGAAAUGGAACCGAACCCUCCAUAUUUGGAACCUCAUUGGGUUGUUUAACCGAAUCUGGUCUCAUACUAGGUAAGAGGCCCGUAAUAAGAUAUAAAUUGGAUGUCCCGUAAUUGGGUCAAAUUGGCCCUUCACAUCAGAUUCACUUGAAUAUUGCAUUGGUCCUUUUUUCUUUUGCCGACUCUUGGUAAGAACGGCUCAGACUUAUUCUACCCGAUUUAUCAGAGAAUCUUGAGGACCUAGAUUCAUCCCUUCAAUUUUUUCCUAGCUUUGGAUCUGUUGAUCCCAAUUAUUGAAAUUGAACGGAGUAUUAUAUUGCUUAUAAGUAUGCCCCGACUGCUUGCUAUUUCCACACACUGGCACGUGAUUGUCAAUGGCUUUGGAAUUGGAACAUUCAAUAGCAUAAUGACCAAUCUGUCUGCAACGAAAAUAAAAAAGUCAUCUUCCUGUACUCCCAUCAGGCAUAUUGGGUGUUUCCACUGAUAUAUACCUCGUAGGCUUGUUCCAUGUAGGAUUAGAAAAUGAUCCUGGUCGUUCUUUUGGUACAAAGGGUACUUGGUUCGAUGACGCCGGUAGAGCAUACACUAGUGUCACAUUCGAUGGUAUAUAUUACAAUAGAGUGAUAUUAACUGGCCCCUGAAUAUUAACACUGGUAUUGGCCAUUGCUUCUAACAUCUAAGCUAACUAAAUAUUAAUAAAUCUUUUCCAUUUAUAUUUUCACCAUAUAGUCAUAUCGCAACACGACAUCCACCCCCUCUGAACCUAUGCAUCUUCUCAUAUGCACUAAAUAAUCUAGUUGUUAUUUGAAUUAUAAUAUGUUCUCCAAGUCUUCGUCUAAAUCCUCUUCAUCACCUUUGCUAUCCAAGUCAAUUUCAUCUUCUUGUUGAAGAAUAUCUAUGUCUCCACCAAGGUCUUCUAUAUUUAUUUUUGUGCAUCUUUGUUUAUAUAUUUUAACUCGCUUCCUUGCAAUUGGUAUUUUAACCUUUUUCCAUCUAACUCCCAUAAUGAAUAAGUUACAUUAUCAUGAACAGUUGUUACAACAUACGGUCUAAGCCAUCGCUUAAAAAACUUCUUUAAAGUACUAUGUUAAUUGUCCAAGCUACUAUCAUAGACCAAAAUCCAAUCACCUUCUUCAAUUACUUUAGGCCUCAAUCGAUGCUGCUUAUGAAAUCUUGCCUUAUUUUGUAACCUUCAUCUUUUUAAUCUUUCUAAUGCUAUUUGCACAUCUUCCGAACUUUGCUCUAAUUGUUGAAUUCUAAUAGCUAAAAGUUCUUCUCCUAUCAAUCCAUCUUUCUAUGGUAGCACACUCCAAGUAGGUACCUUUUCUUCAAUUGGCAUAAUUGAUUUUUGACCUGUCAUAAGCUCAAUAAGCAUAUAUCCUGUUACGGAGCUAUGAGUUGUUUGAUCAGCCCAUAAUGCAAAUGACAAAAGUCAUGGCCAUUCUCUACUCUUUCCAUUACAAGCUUUAACUAAUGCUUUCACAAUUGGUGGGUGACCACACUAAUUUUUGGCAUUUCCUUCAGGAUUAUAAGCAGUACUCAGUGAUAGUUUAAUUCCACAUCUUUCAAAGAAUUCACGAGCUUCUUGUGCAUUUAAUUCUCCAUGAUCUGCAAUGAUUUUUUCUACACAUUCGUAGCAGCAAAUAACAUCUUUAAGCAAAAAAUCUACAAAUUUCUUCCAUAGAUUUUGUUUUCAAUGCUCUUCUUUCUACUAAAUUUGAUAAAUUUUCAUGAGCUAAGACCAAAUAUCUCAUUUGCCAUAACUCGAUUGGUAUAAUAACCAAAUCAACAAUGUAUUUAAAAUGAAUAGCUAGAGGAUAUAUAGGAUGAAGACCAUCUUGAUGUCAUAUAUUAGAAUAUGUUUGAUAAAUUUUACAUGAUCCUACAAAUAAGAGCACAUCUUGAUAUAUAUUUUUCCACCAAUAUCGUUCCUUAAGUUUAGCAAAAGUAGCCCAAAUUCCUCUAUGUCCUAUCCAUAAACUAUCAUGAAACCCCUUUAAUAAUUUUUGUUUCUCUUCUUUAUUGCCUAUCACUCUUUGUGGCAUUCCAAUUCCUUUCUUUGGUCUCUUCCAUAAGAAUCCUUCUUGAAGCAAAAAUCCAUAUAUCUUUUUUCUUAUUUAUUUAAAUUUUCUUGUAGACCAAUUUUCUUGCUUAGUCAAGGUAUUCAAAUAAUGACCAAUAUUGAAUAAUUCUCCUUUAUAAAAUUCUUCAAGAAAUAGCUUGUCUUCUUUGUUAAGAUUUGAUACUAAACCUCCCUCGAAUGAAUUUCUACAAUCUUAUCAUUAUCUCUUAAAUCUAAUAGAUGCAAUUAAUUCUAAAGAAUCCUUCAAUAUAUUUUCUUCAUAAAUACCUUAAAUCUUUUCAUCAUCUUCUAAUGUCCCUAACUUACGUAAUUGUAACGGAUACAGAAAUACAAGCUCGAGAUCUAACAAGAAGUUCAAGAAGAAUUGACAAGAAUUAGAUUAAUCAGAUGAAUACAACAACGAUACCCGAGAGGUGAGAUAGAGCUCCAAGAGAUGUGUUGUCGAGACUGAAGAAUUCUUCAGCCUCGAUUCUAAUAUAUACUCCUAUUUACGAAGCUUCUUAAGCAACUUCCACCAACUAGGAAGCUUCUCAAGCAACUUCCACUAAUUAGGAAGCUUCUCAAGCAACUUCUACCAACUUAGAAGCUUCUCAAGUAACUUCCACCAACUAAGAAGCUUCUCAAGCAACUUCCACCAAUUAAGAAGCUUCUCAAGUAACUUCAAUCAACUAAGAAGCUUUUAGCAGGUUCCAGAGACUUACUUCUAGAAGGUUCUAGAAACUUCUCUCUUGAAGGUUCUAAGUACUAUAUCUCUAACAUCACUCCCUCCUUUAGCUUUGAGGUCUCUGAGAAGCAAUAUUAUUGUUAAUUAGUACCAAUGCAAGAAAAUGAAGAUCUGUCGCAUAACGUCUGCUAUGACUUCUAACUGUUGUUUAGGAGGUAAGUGGUUCAUCGAUCCUUAAAGCCAAUGGUAGUGGUCCACGCCUUCGACUUUUGACUAAGCAUGAACUUUCGUGUCCUCAUUGUGAAAUUGUCCUGCAAACAUGCUUUUUGGCUGACCAUCGUAAGCAAGCUCAAACUCAAAUACAAUCACCAAUGAUCGGUUAUUCGGUAUCCUUCGUCGUCGUCAUGGUGUAGGCAAUUUUUCAUCUCGGGGUCGCCUUCGUGAACUAGUUGGUUGAGAUAAUCUGACUGGCAUAGUAGCUAUCUCUUGGCUAUCCAUAUUAGAAGACCAAACUAUGGCUAUUGAAAAAAUUCUACUUUAUCUUGGAGGAAAAAACUACAUCAAACUACGAGUUUUGGUGGUGCUCUCCCCCUUUCUUAUAUUCUUGGGUGAGCAAGCUUCAGAAGGAAGCUAUCGUCGAACCGGCUUAGAUUUAUGAGGAUGUUGUUGAUGAAACUCUUGUACCUUUUCUGACGCGAUUGCAAGAUUUUUAGCAGGUUCCCACGUUUGCUCAUUAAUGUCGUAGCCGCGCCAAUGAACAAGAUACUCCAAUUUGUUCCACCUUUGUUAUGAAUCCAACACCUUUUCAACCUCGUAUUCUUCGUGGUUCUCGAAUAAUACUAGGUGGCGAACAUUACACUCUUCCAAGAAAAGACGACUUUUGAUAAGGCUCCAACAAAGAAACAUGAAAGAGUCGAUGUACCUUCAUAGAAGUCGGUAAUUCCAAACUGUACGCCACUCGAUUGAUUUGCUUCUGGAUGAUAAGUAGUCCCAAUCUUCAAUAGUCCAACUUAUCACAUGGUCGCUUGGUCUUGAUAUUCCGUCAAAGAAACCAUGCUUUAUCUCCAAUUUUGAAAGUAGGUGCUUGAUUUCGAAAUCUAUCUAUAGACGCCUUGUAGGAUUUUUGAGUGGAUUGUAAUUGAAGCUUCAACAUAGUUUGAAGCUAUGAUAGUUGCUUCGUAAAGCCUUCAGCUCCUGAAUUGUUAUUUGUUGACGGACUCAAUAAAUCAAGCUUCAAAUGAUACCCAUAGUUGGAAAAGUAUGGUGUGUAUUGAGUCGAUGCAUAGAGGGUGUUAUUAUAUGCAAACUCAGCUAGCGACAGAUAUGCGGUCCAAUUAUCUUGCUGAUAGUUGAUGCUGCAUCGUAAGUAUUGUUCCAAGACUUAGUUCACUCGUUCUGUUUGGCCGUUAGUUUGAGGAUGAAAAGCUGAAGAGAGCUUGAUAUCCACCUUCAGUAUCUCAAAAAGAGAUCUCCAAAACUUUGAAACAAACAAGAUUCUUCGAUCUGAUACGAUAUCAUCUGAUAGUCCAUGAUAUCGAUACACAUUAUCGAGAAAGAGCCUUGUUGUGAUUUCACUGGAUGAUGUCUUCUUACAAGAGACAAAGUGUGCCAUCUUUAUAAGCCGAUCUACAACGACAAAGAUGCUGUCAAAUGAAUUCGAUGAUAGCAGGUCUGUGAUGAAGUCCAUGGAAAACGAAGACCAUGAUCGACGUGGAAUUGGCAAUGGCUGUAGAAGUCCAUAAGGGCAAUGUCUAGGAUUCAAAGAUCUUGAAGAAAUAUCGUAGGAGAGGAAAAAAUCUUUCAUAUCCUUUCACAUUUGGAGCCACGAGAUAUCUCGAGAAAUAAGCUCCAGUGUCUUCUUGAAUCCAAAAUGUCCCACAGCUAGAAAAUCAUGGCGAGAUUGAAGAAAUUAAAGUCGUGCUAGUCUUUUUGGAAUAUACAACCGCUCCUCAAAGUAUAAAAGAUCUCCCUCCACCUUAAACUUGUUGUCAUUGGUAUGCUGCUUGAUAUCAACGGCUACUAGAUCUUCAAUGGUCAGGGCACAUACCUGGUUCAGGAAGUCACCAUCAAUUGGCACAAUAGUAGCGCAAAGCUGAAAUUACUCUGGCUUCAACAAUGUCAUACAUUGUUAAUCAAAUGCUGCUUCUCCAGCCUUUGGUACAAGAUACGAUCUCCUUGAUAAGGCAUCGGAUAAUCCUUCCUGCCUUCUAGGUUGAUAAGUGAUAAUAAAAUUGAAUCUAGAUAGCAACAUACUCCACCGAGCUAAACGUCGAUUUAGAACUCGAGCCGACAUGAAAUACUCCAAAUUCUUGUGAUCUGUGUAUACGGUCACUGGGUGUGCAGCUCUUUUAAGAAAGUGAUGCCAUUCUUGGAAAGAAUCCACUAUAGCAAGAAGUUCUUUAUCGUGGAUCUCAUAAUUGAUUUCAACUGCAAAGAACUUUCCAGAAUAAAAUGUAAGCAAAUGGAACUUCUUAUCUUCUCCCAUUUGUGAUGUAUAGCUCCUAAAGCAAAAUCCGAAGCAUCAGUUUUUAAAUAGAAGGCCUUUGUAAAGUCUGGAUGUACCAAGAUUGGAGCCGUAGUAAAUGUCGUCUUCAGGUCUUGAAAUGCCUUCUCCGCUAGAGGUCUCCAUUCCAGCUUAUCCUUGCAUGUCAAUCGAGUGAGAAGAGUAGCAACUUGAGAGUAAUUCUUGAUGAUGAUUUGAUAGAAGUUAGUAAAACUAAGAAAGCAUUGUACGUCUCUAACUGUCUUUGAAACCUCCUAGGACACGAUUGCUUCCAACUUCUUAGGGUCCAUCUUCAAGCCUUCCGUAGUCGCAACGAACCUCAAAAACUCCAUCUCCAUUUGGUGAAAUAAACACUUCUCUAAUUUGGCAUAUAGUCCUCGCUUACGUAGUUUCUCUAAGACGAAACAAAUGUACUUUUCAUGCUCUUCCUCGUUUUUGGAAAAUAUUAGAAUAUCAUUCAAGUAGAUGACCACAAAAUCGUCAAGGUGCUCUCGAAAAAUAUCAUUCAUCAUAUGUUGGAAGACUACUGGAGCAUCGGUAAGACCAAAAGGCAUGACAUUAUAUUCAAAAUGGCCAUACCUUGUACGGAAUGUUGUCUUCCACUCAUCUCCUUUUUUGAUUCGUACGAGGUUGUAAGCUCCUCUUAAAUCAAUUUUUGUAAAGAUUCUUAUACGUUGUUGUGUUGUAGCACGAGAAUACCGUAAAAAUAUAAAGAAAGGAGACUUUUAUUAAUGUAUAAUUACCUCGAAUAUUGGGAGCCACGACCAAAUCCAGUGUAAAUACUGAGUAGCCUGGUUCAGUCACCCUAUUACAGUCAGCCGGAGCAUACUGAAAUGCUUCGUUCGAUUCCAAUAACGGGAGUCAGCAGGAAGGGAAAGGACCAAUUCACGCGACGGGUGAGCCUGGUUUGAAGAGCCAAUCGGAUCCAAUUUCGAGAAUCCAAUCCGGGUCUUACUAUUGGACUCUUAUCCAAUAUGAGACCUAAAUUGGUCGGGCAACCCAAUGCAAUCUAAUUACGGGAAAAUCCAGGUUACUAUGGGCAUCUUACCCAAUAUGAGACCUGAAUUGGUCGGGCGACUCAAUGUGGACCCGAGUAUGGGGUUUCGAUUCAGUAUCAGGCUGUCUUAUUCUCUGUGCCGUUUCAAGGAACGUUGUUUUCGGUAAAUGGAUCUCUUAAAGAUAAAAACGGAGGAGGAAGCUCUGGCGGCGGGAGCCAAUUUCGGAUCUAAGCUCUAACGAUGGGAGCCAAUUUUGGAUCCAAGACAGAAGAUUGAAGAAAUUCAGAGGAUAAGGUUAGGGGAAGAAUGAGAUCAGAGGGGGGUUUUUUUUUUUGGAUGGGAGAGCUAGCUUCAAGCUCUUUUCAAGGUUACUAGUUCGGUUUCAUUGGAGGUUUUUGAAGAUCAGGAAUUGGAGAGGAGCUUCAUGCUUCGGGUCGGGAAAGAAAAGACGGAGAAUUGGAUUUUUCUUCUUCAUAGAGUUUUGGGAAGACUGAGGCAAUCGUUACUGAAGUCAGUGUUGUAAUGGUGAAUCGGGAUUUUUUAAUGAAAUGGGUUUGAUUACUCUUGACUGUUUUGUAAGAUUGAGUUACGUCUGUGAUGAAGAGUUAAAAAGGUGUCUAUAGGAUUGAGUAUGCAGAGUGAAUGAAAUUUAUUGGCUUAAUCUAAUAAGACAGUCAGUGGAUACAAGAUUGUAAGUACAAAGCGGUAUUGAAGAUUAACAGUUUGGGUUGUUUGGGGUUCUCUGUAACGUCUAGAAACCUACAUGCUGGGACAAAAUGGACUUCGACAAGCAGUCGGAGGGCAUCCGUAUAGAUUUACGGUAUAUUCUUAAAGUCGUUUAUAUUCCAGCAGUCAAAAAAAGAUAGACUGCUUGACUAUUGAAAAAUCUCCAUACUACCUUCUACAGACAGAUGCCCGGCACGUUCUUGAGCAGGAAAGCACGUAAUACGAUAAAAGUGGUGAACUCGACGUGAAAGCUUGAGGUAGAAGGUAUUGGAUUUAGAUUGAUUUUAUCUUUAUUUUAUGGAAAACGAAAAUAAAAAUUUUGAAGGACUUUUGAGAGGAGUUUCUAGUGGGGAGUCUUCUAAAGGACAAGGUAUGCAGAUGGAUCCAUCUAUUGCUAGUUUGUUUCAAGCCUUCUCAUUAUCAAUGCAGCAAUAGCAAAGCAAUGAUCGAAAGGAAGCUUUGGCAACCAAAGCAUUGCAAGCAGUGGUCAAUAAAAUUGAUCAAUUUGAUGGAAGGAAUAUUUCAAGGUAUUUAAGAUAUUAUGUUCGUGAAAUGGAAUUAAAUCAAGUUUCUGAGAAGAAAAUGGUUGAACUAUUUGGACUUGCCACGAUACCGGAGAUAAAAGACCACAUUACAUGGAUUACGGAUCGUUAUGGGAAUUCAUGGGAGGUUUUUUUACAUACAUUGAAAGACAAAUAUUUCUUCGAAGAUGUUGAUCACGUUACUAAGAAGCUGUUUCUGGAAUGGAUUGAACGGCCCAAUAAGAAUUUGCAAGCAACACAGCUACUAAGGAAAUUUGAGAGGUAGUACUCUCAAUUGUCGAAGGUAGAAAAAUUGACAUUGGAGCCGAACAAAGUUGAUCUAUUUCUUCAAGCUGCUGAUGGAGAAUUGCAAGGGAAAUUAGAACUCCUUCUUGAAGACAAAGAAGCAGAUGAAGGAUUGACAACGAAGUAGAAGAACGUUGAAGAUGCGGUGGGAUUGCUUACAAAAAAAGAAAGGAAGAAGGAUAGGAAGAAUAUUCUAAAAAUAGUACAAGCACCCAAAGCUCCAAUACGUUGUCGUAUUACGUGCAUUCCUGCUCGAGAACGUGCCGGGCGUCGGACUGUAGAAGGUAGUAUGGAGAUUUGCCGAUAGUCAAGCAGUCUAUCAGUUUUUGACUACUGGAAUAUAAAUGACUGCAACAAUAUACCGUAAAUCUAUACGGAUGCUCUUCGAUUGCUUGUUGAAGUCUUUUUUUUUUACCCCAGCCGGUAGGUCUCUAGACGAUACAAAGAACCCCGAACAACCCAAACUGUUAAUCUUCAAUACCCCUUUGUACUUAAGAUCUUGUAUCCACUGACUGUCCUCUUAGAUUAACCCAAUAAAUUUCAUUCACUCCGCAUACUCAAUCCUAUAGACACCCUUUUAAUCCUUCAAUCAAAGACGUAACUCGAUUUUAUAAAACAAUCAAGAGUAUUCAAACCCACUUCAUUUAAAAAUCCCGAUUCACCAUUACAACACUGACUUCAGCAGCGAUUGCCUCAGUCUUCCCAAAACUCUACGAAGAAGAAAAAUCGAAUUUCUAUGUCUUUCCUUCCCCGACCCGAAGCAUCAAGCUCCUCUCUCUAAUUCCCUUGAUCUUCAAAAACCUCCAAUGAAACCGAACUGGUAACCUUGCAAAAGCUUGAAAACUAGCUCCCCCCCAAUUCCCUGAAAGAAAAAAACCUCCCCCCUCAAAACUAUAUCCCCCCUAACCUUAUCCUCUGAAUUUCUUCAAUCUUCUGUCUUAGAUCCGGAAUUGGCUCCCACCUCAAGCUUGGAUCCGAAAUUGGCUCUCGCCGUCAAGCUUUCUCCUCUGUUUUUACCUUUAAGAAAUCCAUUUACCGAAAACAACGUUCCCUGAAACGGCACAGAGAACAGGAUAGCUUGAAACAGAAUCGAACCCCGUAAUCGGGACCACAUUGAGUCGCCCAACCAAUUCAGGUCCUAUAUUGGGAAAGAUGCCCGUAGUAACCUGGAUGUUCCUGUAAUUGGGUCAAAUUGGUCCUCGUGUCAGAUUGGCUAAGACCCGUAAUAAGACUUGGAUUUCUCGUAAUUGGACUGCAUUGGGUUGACCGGCCAAUUUAGGUCUCAUAUUAGAUAAGAGGACCUGGAUUGGAUUAUCGAAAUUGGAUCCAAUUGGCUCCUCGAACCCGUCGUGUGAAUUGGUCCUUCUCUUCCUGCUGACUCCCGUUAUUAGAAUCGAACGGAGCAUUUCAGUAUGCCCCGGCUGACUGUAAUGGAGUGACUGAACCUGACCACUCAGUAUUUGUACUGGAGUUGGUCGAUGCUCCCAAUAUUCGUGGUAACUGAAUAUUAAUAAAAUUCCCCUUUCUUUUUUUUUUCAUUGUAUACUCGUGUUACAACACGACAACGUACAACACCACCAACAAUGCCUACAGUUCAACCUUCGAUAUCCUUAUCAAAGAAAGCAGAUAUAGAGAUGGAAGAAAUUAUACGAGAAAUGCAAGAUCUUCAAAUCAAAUUGGCAAUAAUUGAAGAGAAUACUUCUAUAAAUAAUUCAAAGAAUGUUUUAAAACAAGGAUAUAUACAAAGAUGCAUUUGCUGUGAUGAUGCUUCACACACUAGAAAAGAUUGCAAUGAAUUUAAUAAUAGGAUACGGCAGGGAAUUAUUUGCUUGAAAGAUGAGAAGAUAGCAUUGAAAGAUAGGGAUGAUCUUCUUCAAACCAAUUUUGGCAAGGGAAAAAUGAGAGCAUUGCUCGAAGAUUACCUAAAAGAGCAUAAAACAGCAGCACGAGAAAGUGCAAGUUAUGGUGCUAGAGUAGAUGAUGACCUUGAAAGAAGUAAGGAAACUAGUGAGUUUUGGGCUUCUGCCGUUUCUACAAUGCAAAAAGGAAAAUUACCUCGAGAAGCGUCAUUGAGGACUGCAGCUAGAAUAGGAGGUAGAACAGGUUGGGAGGAUCCUGUUGAGUCUCUUUCAGUUCAUGCAUAUAUUGCUAAGAGCCAACAUGAAGCUUUGAUGGAAGAAAAGAGACGAGGAAAUUUUGAUGAUACUAAAGAAAGAAAUUCUUCUAAGAGGCAAACUCGAGGAGACAAGGUUCGGGAGGCAGCUUCACAAGAAUUGCCAAUAAAGGAUACCUCAACAUCAUUGGGAGAAAAAAAAAAGGAAACAAAAGAUAUUUCACAUCAGAUUCAUCACUUAAGUUGUAUUAUGUGCUAUCUAGCUUGAGAACGCAGCGGGCAUCUAGUUGUGAAAGAUAAAACAAUAUUUUGUAAGUAUCCAAGUAGGCUAGUGGAUUUCAACCAUAUAAAUACAAAUUAUUUCAGAUUUCAAUGUAAAAGCUCAAUCUCAAUACAAAGUACUUAGAAAUACUAUUUUUAAUAACUUCAAGUUAUUAUAAGUACAAAGUCUUUUUUUACUUGUUAGUUUUAUUUUUAUUUUUAUUUUAUUAUAUUUUCUUUUAUUUUUUCAACCUUAACCUUAGACAGCGGGCUUUGGUAAGCUGUAAUUCCCAAUCUGUAUGUCCGAUUAUUGUUAAUUUCUACCACUAGUAUCUUUACAAGCCUUUUAAAUACUCAAGAAGUUUCAAUCCAAUCUAACUUACAAAUUGCAAGAAAAUACCAUAAAUCCACACUGAUGUAUCUUGAUCGCCGUCUACAAGUCCUCGACUUAUCAUGCCAAAAGUCACCUUAUUCCAGCUGGUAGAUCUCCAGAUAUUAUAGAAAUCCUAAACAACCCCAAUCUGCUAACUUCUAAUACUUCUUUACACUAUUGGUCAAAUAUUCUCUAUAUGUUCGUCAGAUUAAUACAAACUUUUGUAAGCACUCAGUAUACUCAACCGUUUAGACACUUCUAAAUUUCAACUACAAAAAUUUCUCCAAUUUCACAAAAUAAUCAAUAGUAUCAGCAUUAACAUUAUUACAAAAAAAUACCCAAAUCACCAAUACAAACAUUGACUUUCAGCAACGAUCACGAAAGUCCUUUCAAAUCCUAUGAAACUCAAUUCUAUACCUUUUGAAGGAGCUUGAAGCUAGCUCUCCGAUCCCAAAAUCCCGAUCUCCGAAUGCCUUCUUCUUUUUCUUCUUCUCUCCUUUAACUCCGUGAGGUCCUCUAUUCUUCCGCCCUAGACUCCGAAUUGGAACAGUAGACCCGCCUCCAUAGAAUUCCCGCUUGUAAGAGGAUCUUUCCACAGAAAGGAUGUUUUCUCGAAAUGACAUAGAGAACGGAAUACCUUGAAAUGGAAUCAAAGCCUCCGUAGUCGGGACCUCGUUGAAUUGUCCAACCGAGUCAGGUCUCAUAUUGGAUAAGAGGCCUAUAAUAGGACCUGGAUUGGAUGUCCCCGUAAUUGGAUCAAAUUGGCCCUUCACGUUCGCUCAUUAAUGUCAUAGCCGCACCAAUGAAUAAGAUACUCCAACUUGCCCCACCUUCGCCGUUGUCAUAAUGUGUGAAGUCUUGCUUGAGAAUGCUCCGGGUACUAGGUUGUAGAAGGAAGAAUAGAAAUUGCGAUAACAAAAUCCUAAAUAGAAUACUAACAAUGCUUUAAUUAGACUAUAAUAAUGGUAAAAAAACGUAAUCAAAUUCAAAUCAACUCAAAGAAAUUUCAAACAAACAAUAAAAUUCUUAAAAAAAUAUUAGAAUGAUCACAAAUUUUACUCAAAUAUAUGUCAAUUCAACCUUAAUUUAACUCUAGUUAAAAUCCUAUUGAAUUUCACUCAACUUUAGACCAAAUCUAAUUAAAUCUUAAACCCUAAUAAUUCCUAAACCCUAAGUCAAAUCCUAAAUAAAUCUUAAAUUAAACCCUAUUCCAAACCCUAAAUCCUAAACCCACCCUAAAUCAAAUCCUAAACCAAAUCCUAAUCCAAGCCUAAACCCUAAUCCAAACCUUAAAUCAAAUCCUAACCAAACCCUAAUCCAAACCCUAAAUCAAAUCCUAACCAAAUCCUAAAUCCUAAUCCAAAUCCUAAUCCAACCCUAAACUCUAAUCCAAAUCCUAAACCCUAAACCAAACCUUAAAUCAAAUCCUAAUCAAACCCUAAUCCAAACUCUAAUUCAAACCUUAAAUCAAACCCUAACCAAAUCCUAAUCCAAAUCCUAAUCCAAACCCUAAAUCAAAUCCUAACCAAAUCCUAAACCCUAAUCCAAAUCCUA